UAAUUUAAUGGAAAAUACCACUAAUCCGACACCAUAUUCCUGCAAAAUUAAAAAUGAUUAAAGGGAAUCAUGAAUUAACAAUAUCCUUUCACAUUUGAGACAAAAAAAAAAAAAAAAAAAAAGGGUCUUAUCCUACAAGCACAAACAUGAUGGAAAACAACAUGGUGGCAGUACAUAUCGCUAUAUCCAAUUGUACUGACAAUGCAAAAAUACAAACUAUCAACCACAUUGUGAUCCCAGAGCCCUUAAAAUUAUCGCUAUUAAAAGAAUAUAUAACCACACCAAGAAUCAAGUAUAUCAUCAAGAGGACAACAACUUGUCUUACAAUUGCCGUUUUGCCAAACUGGGGUGGCUUCGAUACCAAUUAAUGAUGGAAUUCAUUGAUGACAACCAUGAGUCCUGCACCUGUGGAGAUUACUCUUGAGCACUGAAUCGUUAGGAUCAAUCAACCAAGAUUGCCGGUUUUCCAUAUCAAGAUUGGAUUUUGGUAGAGUUGCAGAAUCAAGGCAAAGAAAAAUUCCCAAUUACACCACCAAGCAGAAAACUUAGAUCAAAUUUAUGUUAAGUAAAAUUUAAUCAAAGGAAAGAAGUUAAUACCUCACAGCAUCCUCAAGACUAGUGUUUUCAUGCACAGUAAUGAGAGCAGCAGUCAUAAGGUUGCCAACAUCCUGCAAAAUGGAAGCAUCAUUCACAUGUAACUCGGACUAACGAAAUUCAAUUAAAGUCAAGGUUCAAAUUUAAAAAUGGAAAGUCAAACCUUUUUGCCUUAGUAUAUCUUGUUUCUCGAGUUCCUUUCAUGUCUUCUUUUCAUAAGGUUGAACCUCCUUUCCACUUUUAGCUCCAUAAUGAGUAAUCCAAGGCCACGCUUAAUGCUAUCAUCGAGAAAGUCACAGUAAUAUAUGCAAAACAAUAACCCAAAUAAAAGCCUAAAGUGUCAAUUAGAAAGAUCAAACUUUUAACUAAUGAACCAUGUGCAAAACAAAAACUUGAUAAAAAUCCGAAUCUAAACUAUUUAAUGUCUUAACGGCCAAUAAAUGAUAAAACCUUAACCACCCACAUCAAGUACAGUGCUAUCACCAAAAAAUUGCUUUACCUAAAAACACCUAAAGAAAAGAACAAAGUUCCAAUUAAAAAGAUCUUCGAUUGGUGAUGCUUUGAGCUCAGCAGGAAUGUCACGGGAAGGGCUUAGCCAACCCAUGACAUCAUCAGGUUGUCUAUCUCACUCUGCUAGCCAUGAUUCAUUUGGUUCUGUUUUGGGUUCAGCGGGAAUGACACAGAAAGGGCUUGGCCAACAUGUGAGUUCAUCAGGUCGUCUCUCACGCCCUGCUAAAUCAGUGAAAGACUCCUUUAGUAUAGGCAAGCAAUGAGGCGAGUUUCUCUUCAUAUAAUUUCAUAAUUUUAAAAAUAAAUUCUACGAAGAAAUCCAAUCUAACAUAGACAAAAACACCAAAUAAUAAAACUAAAUAUAAAUCACAGUUUGAUAACGGGCAAAUCCUACAUCCAAUGGAAGCCAAAUCUUAAUAAACAACAUUCAAUCAAUCCAAACCAUCAUCUCCUGGCAAAUACGAAUAAACAUCUACUCGAAAACUAAAUAGAGCCAAGAAAUAUAGUACUGACUCGCGUCCAUGGGAAUCUUCUGAGCUGGUUGAUGAAUAUGGAAAUUUUCCUUCCACCGGAAUUGUGCAAAGCCCACAUGAGAACUGUCACACUCUUCUUCACAUCUCUUUGUAAAUGGGUGGAGAUGGAAUUCGUGCUCCAGCUCCUCAAUUUCACUCAUUGCGAGGCUGUUUUCCGAAAUCAACGCGAAGUAUCAAUCUAUGGUACCUUUUUUCUGUUAAUGAGCGACGGAAAUUCAAACAAAACCAUCAAAAAUUGAUCAAAAGGGUUUAUACAUUCGGAGCGGAGAGUCUCCCUUGAUAAAUAUACAGAGAUCAAAUAGGAGGCAGAUAUGGAAAUUGACAUUAAUAACGAUUACAAGAAGGAAUUAUUACCAUAGUCUGGGAUCUGUGGAUGUGGCUGAGCAUUGAUAAGGAGACUUUUCUAUUUGACACGUGAGUAUUCCUUUUCAUGAAAUAUCGGUAUUACCGAAAUGAUUUUUUUUAUAUUGUAACAUAGGUCCUAAUUUUUUAAAUAUUUUAUCUUUUAUUUACUCUAUUUUAGAUAUUUAAAUUAAAAAUCAUUCUAUGAUCUAAUAAAUAAGAAUAAUCUGCAAUAUAUAUAUCAUAUUUUUUUAAUAAAAUAUCAUAUUCUUCAAAUGGUAAAUUUGUAUUUUUUAAUUGAGGUAUAAUAUUCUUUAUUUCUUCUAAUAUUCUUUCUAAUAAAUUAUCUAAUCCUUCAACUGUAUAUCCUGACAUUUAUCAAAAUAAUCAUCAUCUUAAAAAGAUUCAUUCUAAUUUUAGCAAAAAUUUAAUAGUUUUACCUUAAGUUUGAUCUAGAUUUGUAUUCUUAGAACCGAGUGACCUUCGAGCUCUGAAUUUGUAAACUGCUUCCUUCAACGGCCUUCUGCCUUCACAGAAUUGUUACUAUUUCAGUUACUUGCUCUUACUAUAUCAACUUCUAAAGAAUAAAAUCCUAGAUUUUUGUUAAAGAAAAACUAUUUUUUGCUAAAAUAAGAAGAAAACUUUCUAUUAGAUCCUUCAAGAAUCUAUGGGAAAAAGAUUUAGAAAAAUAUGUUGAUAUCAAAAUAUUGGAAUUUUAUUUCUAUCUGGAUUGAUACAAGACUUCUAUUUGGUAUGAAGGGAUUUCCAGAAAAAUUGGUUUUUCAAACUGUGAAUGGGCUAUUGCUUACAACUCGAGAAUUCAAGAUAGGACGAGAUGAUAUUCUUCUAUGGUAGUGUCUCUAUUUAUACAAGUUUUUGAGACUCUAUUACAUCAUUCAAUAUAUCAGCAAGACACACUUGCCUUUCUAUUUUCUUCCUUGGGCCUACAUCUUCACAUGCUGGUUCAACUUUUUUAUCUAAAGAGCAUCUUUUUCUAUUAUUGCUCUUUAUCUUCAAUGUCUUCACAUGUAGUAUUAUUGUCCUUCAUACACCUUUGUCAAAAGGUGUUUUGUAUUCUUCUUUUAUUUUUUCACAUGCAGUUGGGGCAUUUCUUUAGCUGGCAGGAUUCUUUUAUAGUGGUAGGACAUUCUAGAAAUUGAUGUAUAUCAAAUCUUGUAAUAUAGUCUUUUAAAAUUUCUGAUUUUGCAUAUCCUCCAUUGGAUACCAACAUCCAAUUUUCAUAUUGGCACAGGCAUAAGAAUUUUUUAUCAAAUAAAUUUUUGGUAAUAUUGUAGAUGGCUUUAAUUUCAAGUGCUCUUCUAUGUCUGAUCCAUGAUUUUGUCACUGUUGGGACUUUUCUAUUAUUCUCUGUAACAUCAAUUCAGAAAUUGGCCGCAACAUAUCCAAUUGAGAUUAUGUGUUCAACUGGAUAGUAAACAAUUCCAUCAUAUUCUGGAUUGAUUAAAUAUAAUUUUAAAAAUAUAUUCCUUCUCUUGGCAAAUCUAGAUACUUCCUUAAUGAAUAUGUCAUCAAACUUUGAAAUUACAAUAAAAUCUUUUCCUGGAUAAAUCAAAUCCAUGAAUCCACAGUCUGUCAUGAUUUUUACAAAUGAAGGGUCACCUCCUUCCAUGGCUGUUAUUCUGGGAUUAACAUUAUUUUCCGGAGAAAUGAAAUAUGAAUCACUUAUUUUUAUUGCAUAAGCAAUUUUGACUAUUUCGGCAUAUUUUUCUUCGUUUGGAUUUAAAGGGAUUUUAUCUUCUUGGUCUAUGAUGCUGAUUGUUUUGAUAUCUCUUUUAUCUCCAUGUAUCAUAAUUUUCUUGGUUGAUAAUACAGAAAUGGAAUCUCCUUUAUUAUCAAUUGGUAUGUUGUCACGUCUAGGUCCACUGCUGCUUCCAGCUGUCCCUAUUUGGUAUUGAUUUGGAAAACUCAUUUCUGAGCUCUUUGGUAUAUCUGUUUCAAACAGUAUAUUUUUUAGUUGUGCUGAAAUAGUAUCAAUUUGAUUUUUGAUUUCUAUGGCAUAUUUACGAUGCUCAGUAGUGAUAUUCAACAAUAUUUUCAUAUUUGAGUUGAAUAUCUCUGAAAUCUGGGUUGCUCCAAAGCUUAUAUCUUCAGAUUCUUCUUUAAGAAAAUUUGUCCUCUCUUGUAUAUGUAUAAUAGAUUGGUAUACCUCCAUGACAUUGACUUUAUCCAUCAGCAAAUUUUAUGCUUCUGCUGAGAAAAUCUGCAAGAAAAUUAUUAACUCUUUUAAUAUGGACUAUAUCAAAAUUAUAAAAUGCUAAAUAAGCUUGCCAUCUAUGAAGCCUUCUGUAUUGUGGUUAUGGGGGUAACUUAUUCCUUACUAGUCCUGCAACUUGAGAAUUAUCAGUUUCAAUAAUAAAUUUCUUGGAUAAUAAAAACAAUGAGAACUUUUUUAUUCUUCUAAUAAUUGCUAGUAAUUCUUUUUCAUGAGUAGUAUAAUUUAUUUCUGCUUAGUUAAAUGUUCCAGUUGAGUAUCUACAAAUUACAUUAAGAUCUAUUUUUAAUAUUGCUGUCCAAUAUUUAUCUGAGGCAUCAGUAUUAACAAUCAAAUUAUCUUUUUCAUCUGGUAAUCUUAAUUUUGGUAAAUUUUUGCAUUCUUCUUUUAAUGAUUUAACUAUUUCUGUAUGUUCUUCAUUCCAUCCCUUAGUAUUUGUUUUUCUAAGUAAAACUUGGAUUUUAUGUAUUUUCUUAGAAAGAUUUUCAAUAAAUUCUUUUACAUAAUUUAAAUAUCUUAAAAAAUUUUGAAUUUGUUCCUUGGAUUCUAAUUUAUCUGAAAAACUUUCUAUCUUUUUGGAUAUAUGAGUCUGUAAUUUUAUCCCUCUUUUAUCUAUUGAUAAUUCAAGAAAGUCUAUCUCUUGUUUUUCUAUUAUAGAUUUUUUUUUAGAUAGUACAAUUUUUUUCUUUUUUACAUUCAUUAAUAAACUAGAUUAAAUGAUUUAUAUACUUUUCUUUACUAUUAGAACAUAUUAAUAUAUCAUCAAUAUAAACUAUUAGGAAUUCGUUAAACUUUUUAAAUAUAUUAUCCAUCUUUUUUUGAUAUAUUUGUGGUGCAUUUUUCAAACCAAAUGGCAUAACUAACCAUUCAUAUUUUCCUUGAGGUGUGCUAAAUGCAGUAUAUUGUAUACUAUCUUUUUCUAUUUUUACUUGCCAAAAUCUUGAUUUACAAUCAAAUUUAGAAUAAUAUUAUUUUUUUCUUACAAGAUUUAUUAGUACUUCUUUAUUUGGUAGAAAGUAACAAUCAAAUUUAGUAUAUUUGUUUAAUUCUUUAUAAUUUAUAACCAUUCUACCUUUUCCUCUAACUUGUUCAGUGUGUUUCAUAACCAUAAAGGCUAGACUACUAUGAGGUCCAUUACUGGGUCUAAUAAGUUUUUGUUCUAACAAUUCUUUUAUCUGAUUUUUAAAUUCUUGUAUAUCUUCUAUUGUAUACAUUAUUGGUCUUACUCUUAUUAUAACAUUUUUCUAUUAAUUCUAUUUUGACUUUUGGAUGAUGUGGUUUCCAAAAUAAUAAUGGAUUUUCUCUAUAAACCUUUUCUAAUUGUUCAAUGAUUUUUUCUAUAUUCAUUUCUAUUCCUGUUUUUAGAACAUUUUUAUAUAAUAUUCUUUUAUUUUUCAUUUCAUUAUUAAGAAUUGGCUUUUUCUCUCAUUUAUCGCCACGCUGGGCUGGCUGAACUCUAUAAGGUUUAAAUUCUCUAAAAAAUUUUAAUAAGUGUCCACAAGGUGUUUGUAACAUUAUCAUAUAAUUAUUUUGUUUAUAAUAUUGAAAUUGUCGUAUGAAAUCAUUUCUUAAUAAUAUAUCACAUUCUAAUUUAUCAUAUUUAUAAAUUUUAUUUAUUGUUACUUGUUUACUUCCAAGAAUUAUAUUAACUUUAUAAGCACUAUUAAUUAUUUGAGUACUUUCUCUUGUAAGACCGGUUAUUUUUAUAUUAGGAUUAUUAUUCCAUGAUUUUAUUUAAAAACUUUUAAAUAUUGUUAUAUCACUUCCUGUAUCUAUUAAAGCACAAGUUAUUAUAUUUGUUUCUACAAUAGUAAUUUGUAUAUACACAACUAAUGGAAAAUUUAUCUGAUUAUUCAUCUGAUUCUUUUUACAUAAUGUAGUUUGUCCAUUAUGAACAAUAUAUAAUCUUUUUCUUUUUAUACUAUAAUCUUCUAAUCCAUUUAGAAAACUCAUUCCUAAAAGUAUAUGAGGAUUUAUAUCCAUACUUUUAUCUAUGUAACAUGGUACUAAAAAAUCUAUUCCUCCUAUUUUUAUUGGUACCUUAACUUCUAAAUCUGUUAUAUGUACUUGUCCAUCAAAAUUUACAUACAUAUAUGGUUCAAUUUUAUGAGUUAUUAGUCCUCUGUUUCUAAUCGAAACUAUAUGACAUUCACUAGCUCCUGUAUGUAUUAAUAUAUUUGGUCCAUUUAUAUUUUCUCUACCAUUAUAAUAUUCUCCUUCUAUUUUCAUGUUCCCAGCAUUCCUAUACAGUUUUACAUCUUUUAUUUUGUUGAUUUCUUCUAACUGGUUUUUAUUAGGUAUUUUAAAACUUUUUGAUCUUUUAAUUAAUUUUCCAUCCUUAAAUAUUAUGUUAUUAAAACAUUCUCCUUCAUUUAAUUCUGUUAUUUCGAGUUUAUUUUUUGCUCUAUUAAAUUCAUAUUCUUCUGGAAUUAAACUUAUUUAUUUAUUUGGUUCUAUUAUUUUACUAAUAUCUUUACAUUCUUUAUGAACUUCAAUAUAUGGUUUAUUGGAAUAAAUAUUUCCAUAAUUAGAAUUGGUAAAUGUGUAUAAAGCUCUAUAUUUUAUAGUCAUAAUUUGAUCACUUGGUUGGAUAAUAUCAUUUCUAUAAAGCUUGAAAUGUAAUCCUAAAACUUCAUUAAAAUUUAUAUCUUUUAAUGAUACACAAUAUUUUGGAUAACAUGUAAAUAUAAUUUUUUGAUAUGCUAAUUUUCCUUCUAUUGUUCCUAAAUGAUUAUCUUUUAAUUUUAUUAUUCUUCCAUCAUGUAAAGUUAUAGUUAUGGGUGAAUAUAUCCCUUCUCUAAAUAGUGAUUUAAACAUUAUUUGUAUUCCUACUAAAUAAAUAUAUUGGAUUUUUUCACUUUGUUUUUUACUAAUCAUCGUCAAUAGUUCAUCAACUAUAUUUUUUUGUUAAAAGAUUUAAUUUAUGUUGUCCAUAAGUUGUUCUUACAUCUAUGAUUUUUUCUAUUUUGUGAUAUUCGUUUAUUACUAUUCUUUUUCUUUUCCAAAUUCUAUCAAAGACUUUCCAUUUUCCUAUUUUUAAGUCUAAUAAUAAUUUUUGCAAUUUUCUAAACUUGUUAUUAUCAAAAGUAACUUUUAAUCCAUAUGCUUAUAUUCCUUUAUAUUCUUGUAUAUUUAUAUUAUUACUUUCUAUUUCUUCAAUCUCUUUAUUCAGAUCCUGAUUCAUCUUCUUCUGUUUCAAUUAUAUAUACUUCUUGAUUAUAAUAUUCUUCAAUAUCCGAUAUUUCUUAAUUCAUCUUUUAUUUUUAAAUAUUCUUUUUGUAAUAUUCUAACUUUCUUUUUAUCACAAUCAGGACUUUAUGAUAUAUUUCUCCACAAUUCCAACAUUUACAUUGGCUUUUAAUUUUCUUAUAAUUCUUAUUUUUCUGUUGGUUAUAUGGGUUAUUUUUUCUUUUGUAAUAUCUUCUUCUAGGUUUUAUAUAUUUUUUAUUAAAAUUUCAAAAAUUUUUAAACUUUUUAUUUUUAUACUUCCUUUUAUUAAUUUUUCUUUCAAAAUUAUAUCCCUAUUGCACAGUGAUUUCUAUAUCUUCACAACAUAUUUUAGUUAAUUUUCCUGAUUUUUUCAUUAAUUGACUUUGUUGACAUAUAUAUGCAAGUCUUUCAAAUAAAAAUUUUAUUUUUGAACCUAAAGUUCUAGGUAUUUCAAUAUUAUCUCUGACAUAUUUUUCAAAUUCUAUUUUAAAAUAUAUUCUCCAAGAACCUGGUAAUUUAUUAUAGUACAUAUUUUGGUAUACUUCUUGAUUUUCAUUACUGUAAAAUUGAACAUAAUAAUAGUUUCUAAACUCACAAGUAUAUUCUUUAAUUUUACACAUAUCACAUAUUAUUAAAUUUAUUAGUUUAAUCAUAGCACUAUCUUUUUCUCUUAUUUCUUCUCUUUCAUCAUUUUUUAUCCAAUUUUCUCCUAAAAAUUCAUCAAAAAUAUAUUCUACUAAUUUUUCUAUUCCUUGUCUAUCUAAUUUUAUUAUUUCUAUUUGUACAUUUCUUUUUAUUAAUGUUUUUGUAUCAUUACUUAUUCCUUCACACCAAUUCUAACAUCUCCUUCAAAGGAUGCUAUUAAGAAAUCUAUUCUUCUUUCAGUACUUUCCCAUGUGUCAUAUUUAUUAUAUAAAAAGAAUAAUAUCAUCGAAUUUGCCCAAGUUAAUAAGGCUUUUUUAGUAUCAUUUUACAAUUUAAAUCUAGUUUUGUUCUUCCAUGAUUAAUUGGUUUAUCAUAAUCAUCAUUUAAUUCAAACUUAUCUUUAUAUUUAUUUCCUUUAGAUGGUUGUCUCUCUUACUUUAUUAUAGAAUUGUCUAUAUGGUUUAAUAUAUAUAGGUGCAUAGCUUUCAUCUGUGUCAUGUAAUUCUUGUUUAAAAGUUCUUACUGGAUUAUGUCCUCCUCCAAUAUUCAUUAAAACUUCGUAUUCACUAAUAUCAGUUAAGUUUAAUUGAUCAAAAUUUUCUAUUAAUAAAUCUAACUAUUCAUUCAUUUUUAUCUUCUUUUUCGUCUAUUUUUAAUUUUCCUAAUGAUUUUUCUCUAAAUUCUUCUUCUUCUUCUAAUAUCUUUGGUAAUAUAUUUUUUUCUAAAUUCAUCAUCCAUGCUUCAUGUUUCUACUACUAUAUUUUAUUUUUCUAUAUAUUUAUUUCCUAUUCAAGUCAUUUCUUUUUCUAUAAGUUUUUUUAUCUAUCUUCUUAUCUUUAUUCUUAUUAUUUUCUUGUAAUUCUCUAAUCUCAAUUUUUAAUAUAUUUAUAUCAUUUCUUGUUUCUUUUACUUCAUUUCUCAAAUCUUGUACAUCAUUUAUUAACAUUUUUAUUAAAGAUUUUAAUUCUUCCAUAUUCACUUAUUGACAUCUUAAUUUUUUCUUAUUUCGAACUCAUAAGUUAAUUUGCAUCUUUUAUCUAUUAUUUUUCUAAAUCUUCUCUCAACUGUUUUUGAAUCUACUAAUUCUUCUUUUACUAUAGUGAAAUAUUUGCUCUCAAGCAUUAGUAUUUCACAUUUUAAUUUUGUUAAUUGUCUAUUCUUUGAUAUUUUCAUUCCUUCUGGUACUAACAUUAUAUUUCUUAUUUCUUCUUGUAUUUUAUUCAUUUUUAAAAGUAAUUUAUUCUAUUUUUGAUGUGUAUUAUCAGUUGUACUCAUAUUUUUCUUUAUAAUAUAAAUUAUUUUCUUCAUCUUCAUAUAUAUUAAUAAUUGUUUCAUAUGUAUAUAUCUCUUUUAUUUUUUCUAUUAUUAAUUUCUCUAGUAUUUGUUCCUUUAUUUUUUUAGGAAGUUCUUUAAUUAUUGUCAAAGCCAUUAUUUUUAAUUUAUUAUGAAUAGGUUUUAAAAAUAUAUAACUACAUUUUUCUUCUUCUAAACACCAAUAAUUAUCUAUUUUUCUUAUUUUAAUUUCCAUAAUCUCUAUAGCUCUGAUACCAAUAUAGGGGAGCUACUUUGAGCGAACAAAAAUCAAUUAAAUAAAAAAAAUAUUAAUCAAAUAAAUCAAAUAAAAAUUAUCAAAUUUCAACCAAUAUUUAAUUUUAAGGACUAAAAUAGAAAAUUUCUAUAUUAUGAUGCAUUGUUAUGUAAUAUCCAAAUGGAGGGCAUUUUUGGUAUAUAAAUUACCUAAGGGUUAUUUUGGAAAAGUAACCCUUUUGAAAAGGUUAUUUCCAUAUAUUUCUCAUAUUCAUAGACUCAUAAUUCCAAUUCAGGCCUAAGCCGAAGCUCCGCGCGAACGCACCCUUCUGCCUUUGACUUUCUAUCCACACAGACUCACCCUUUUGCCCUUGAAAUGCAUUGUCUUAAAGUUUAGUGACCACCAAAUAAUAAAAUAUGAAAAAGAGUCAACACUCCAUUUUUUACAAUAAAUACUAUAAAAAUUAUUAUAAUUUUUUAAGAAUGUGUGACUCAAAAAUAAGAUUUUUUAAAGAAAAUUAUUUUUAUUGACAUAAAGUACAUUUUAAAAAUGAAUUUGAAGAAAAUUAGAUUUUAUAGAAUGGUUUAGGUUAAGAUUCAAAACAAGACCGUGAUGCGCCGCGGGGAAAACAUACUUGGUCUCCUCGUAGCUCUCUGCGAUGCACUGUCGUCUCACGAAGACUUCUCUGCCCACCCCAUAUUCAAACCCGACUGAAUUAAAUUUUGAUUUAGACAAAAAUGAAAAAGAAAGUAAUCACGUGACUUACAUAAAAGCAAUUGAUCAACCCCGUCCAAAACAAUAUUAUAUGCAAUUUAGGCCUUCUUUUGCAAAUUUGAAUUCAAACGAGAUUUCAGCUUUUUGGAUUUUUGGAAAAAGAGAAAGAAGAUGAAGAAGAAGAAUAGUGCAAGAAUGGUAGGUGGAGCUAAAAACAGACUCCCUUACGCUUUCUUCAAUGGGCCCGACAUAAAACAGCUAAUGAAAUGAGAGGAAAAAAUGAAAAAGUGGAGGGCGAUGCAUAUUUGCGACACGUGUCUAGCACCUUCUUUCGCUCUUUUAUAUACGUAGAAUUACAUGAAAAUAUCAAGUGGUUGGCUAAGCAUAAUAGUAAAUCAAACUUAAUUUAAUAAUUAGCAAUAAAAUUUUGCUCUCAAAAGAGUCAAGACACAUAAAAAAUUACUUGUUUGAAUAUUUGAAUACAUAGUUUAUUUUUGUUUGAGUGUUUGAAUAUUUGAAUAAAAAGUUUAUUUUUGUUUGAGGCCCAUUUUCGGGGAUAAUAUAUAUUAUAAUAAUAAUUUUUAAAGAAUGUGUGUAUAAAAGUGGAAAGAAUAUUUAAAUUUAGGUGAAAAUUUAUUUUAUUGAGAAAAAAACUCUCUUUGAAAGAACUUAACUGAAGAACCUCAGUCUUGUGAGAUGCCCCACAGUGUUUAGCAAUGAAAAUAGCUGACUUCUUGAUGAGGUUCGUGUGGAGGAAUAAACACUUGAGUACAUGGAAUGUUUGGAUGGUCGGCACUCAAAGAAAUUGGCAUAACUUUUGCAUACGGUGUUCGUUUCGGGCCCAUAACCCCAUUUUGGUCGUUUGAAUUCGUUACCUGGGUUAAAACAGCAUUUUAAGUUUCUUAAUUUAUUACUUUCAAUAUUUGUUAUUUUCGCUUUAUAGCCCAGCCCAUUAAGGGACUGUUGACACAGUAGGUUAUUUGUUCUUUUCAUAUUUAAGGCUCUGAAAACGUCUACUUGGUUUUUUAUUGUUCAUGAAAUAAGAAAAAACGUGGUUUUCUUGAGUUCAAACCGUUCGAGUUAUUAUCAUUGUGUGUUUGUAGAUUCGAUCUACAUCACUAUUCCUUAGUGAUAACCUGACAUGUCCACUUUUCAUAUAACUGAAAGGUCUCCAUUAAAGCCUUUAUCGAUCUUUUACUUCCAUUAGCAAAGAUAACAAUAUCAUCAACAUAUAGCAAAUGCAACAGCAAAGGUGCACCUCGGGGAUGUGAAUAGGCACCCAUGCAACCAUCUUAUACAUUCUGAAAUCAAGGAACAAAAAUUGUGAGGGAAGCCAAAAGAAUGCAAUACAUGUAAAAGGAACCUCCAAUUCACUCUGUCAUACACCUUCACCAUAUCCACUUUCACCACUACAUUCCCUCCACGAAACUUGCGAUUCAAUGAAUGCACCAUCUCCUGUGUUAAAGUAAUGUUUUCAAGAAUACUCCUCCCUGUCAAAAAAGCACCUUGUUCUAGAGAUAUAAUUUUAGGAAGCAAGCUGGCCAUCCUAUUCACCAGGAUUUUAGAAAAAAUCUUAUAUGCCACGGAGGAAAGACUAGUUGGUCGAAAAUUAUCAAACCCUUGUGGGCUCUCCACUUUUGGAAUAAACACUAUGUAUAACGAUGAAUAAAAUCUUGGUAAGGAGCUACCACUGAAGAAAUUGCACGCAUCCUCCACUACAUCCUUCUUGAUUAUAUCCCAACAUCUAAUAUUUGUGAAUUCUGAAAAAAGAAUAGAGACGCUAAAAGAAUCUCCCCGGAUUUACUUGUCAUUUCCCUAGUUGAAAUGGAUGAUUCGAAAAAUGCACAAAUUUUAAAAUUUAAUUUCCAAUAAGAUGGAUAUAUAUUCUUAAAAGUGGAUAAGAUAGGAAGUGAAAAUGUCACUGGUGUUAGCGGCACAGAUUGAGGAUAGAUCAAAAUUUUCUUGGACUCAAAGAGGCUGUUGUUCAUAAGAGUCACACGAUCUUAUUAGUCUAGAAUCUAUAGGUUAGAAGGGAAAGAUAAGACCAAGCUAACAUUGCUUCUUGUUGUUGCUAAAUAUAUGUGUAGAUUCAUCAAUGAAUGAAUGAAGUGGUAAAAAAUAUAUAUAUAUAUAUAUAUAUAUAUAUAUAUUCAAGCACCAUGCCUUAAAUUUAUUAGGAACAAGCAUUUCAAUUUGGAGUAGAGUUCAGCUAUGAACUAAGUCACUUUACUAUUGCAAUUGAUUGCUUUGGACCACUCCCAUGGUUUUGGGCUGAGCUUGAUGUGGGUGAAGUGAAGAAAAUCAAUAGAAGCCUUACCGUUUUGCAUGCUUCUAUUCUACCUCGAUACAACAAAAUGUUAAAAGUUUCUAGUGAGUCGAUCGCCAAGUGUAUCCAUUUUAUUUUUUGGCUCAGUGAGAAAAACACACCGAUAUGGAUCCUCAUUGAGGAAGUUGUCAACUCGUUUAUCUGGAUAUAUGAUUUCAAUUUCUGUAAUUUAUGAAAUGCCAGCUCAUAACCCAGUAGAUGAUCAUGUUUGUUUAUGAGAAUAGUAUAGCUGUAUUAGCUUGUAUUGUUUACAAUGGCAUUUCACAGUGAAUACUAUAACCAUAUGAACUUAUAAUGGUUUACAAGUGCAUUUUCACAUGCCAUUACUGCUUGAUGCAGAAGUGAAGCCGAGUAAAGAGCACGCAGGAGCUACAAUUGAAAUCCUUCAGAAGAGAUUCUUAAGCAGGCGAUGUGAGGAGAGGAACAUUGGCAAUAAUACAGAAGCACUUUUAUCUAACCUUUGUUAUGAUUCUGGUUGAUAUGCUUAGGCGGUAUUCUUAUGAAAACAAUUUCGAUUUUUUUUCUUUCUUGAUUUCCUUUAUCAUUUGUAUUGCUAUUUCUAAAAUUGUAUUGCUAUUUGAAUGCUUUUAUGAUUACAUUAUCAUAAGCUAUCAAUGUUGGCACCAUCUUGCUUCAUUUCAGAUUAUUUUUCUUGGUUUUCUUACGGCGUCCCUCUCCUCUUACAACCACCAUCAAGUUAAAAGUGUUCUAAUGAUAUGGAUUUUGCCAGUAUCCUUGAUGGGCAGCAGAAAUUAUCCCUCAAAUUACAUUAUUAUUAGUUUAUUGUUCUAACUAAAGUACGGCAGUAAAGUUGUACUGAUAAUAACUUGUUCUAUAAUAGUAUGUAACAAUUACAUCCUUGUUGCAUUAUAUACCUUAUCGAAAGAUAUUAAGCUCGUGUGAUUAUGAUUAUUUGAUAAAUGAUUUUUUGGUAGAAUUUGGCUAAGAAGCAAGAAAAUUAUGGGUUCAAGUAAAAAAUUAUUUUAGUGAGAGAAUGUGAGGUGGAAAAUGAGUUUGAAAAAAAUAUAAUUAUGUAAACAUCAAAAUCAAACAAGGCUAAGUGUACUUGAUAUUAGACUUGUUCUCAGAAAACUCCCCAUUCAAGGUAAUCACCUAGUAGGAUUAUUUUUAACCUUUUUUUAGAAGAAUUUUUUGCCCACGGUGGGGCUCGAACCCAUGACCACAAGGCUAAGAUGAGCUAGUCGGGCUAUUUUUUUACCACCGGUAGGUAAAUGGUUCAGUAUGUAAAGUGGCAUGACAGAUUGAAAAUCUAUUUAAAUUUUUUUUCUUUGAAUUACUUCAUAUGCUAAUUUUUCUACCUCAAGGUAGUAAUGAUUAGAGUAAUGUUCUUGUAAUUUAUUUAUUAAUUUGGUUGUAGCAAUGACAUUCUUGAUUAUCCAUGUAGGCUAUCAAGGUCAAGGAUGGAGGAUAAUUUUGUUGGAAUUUAGUGGUGUUAAUGAAAUCGGAUUAUCACAUAUUGUAUAUGUAGUUUAGAUACCAAUUUUAAACAUAUCGUAUACACAAUAUACUGCAUAUGCAGCUUACCGUAUUUGUAAGAAGCUUACCGUAUAUGCAGAUUACCGUAUUUGCAGCUUAUUAUAUAUACUAGCUAUCGUAUAUGCUUCUAACCAUAUUUUGCAAAUAUUGGUUUUACUCAUUUCAUAUACAUACAAUGAGAGAUUUAAGUACUGUAUAUGCUACUGACAUAUACCAAAUUGUUUUUACCAAUCGUUAGCAAGAAAAUUCAGAUUUUUUUUCUUUUUUUGAUUUUUAUUUCUAACAUAAAUAUAAAAACAAGUAAACUGCAAAAUAUAUGAAUCAAGUAAAUUGCAAAUGUGUAGAUCGUUAAAUAAAUAAAUCUGCAAGAAUAAAUUGCAAAUGUGUAAUAGCAAAAUAAAUAAAUAACAGAUAAAUUUUCAAUCCGAGGCCUGUGUGAGCAUAAUUUUCUUAAAACAGAUUCGCCCCUCACUGUAAGUGUUUGAGGUCUUGUCUAAGCAUUGUUUUCAAGGAUAUAACAGCAAAAUUCGUAGAAUCUGAACACUAUAGAAACUAUUCCAGUGAACUGAUUUAGCUCCUAUACAAUAUCACCAUAAUGGCCUUAUUGGAUAGGAACAAAAAGUGCUAGUGAUUUUAUGAACAGUGCAGAGAGGAAGAGGACAAUUUUCAUCUGUGAAAAUUGUUGAAAAUUGAGUUUAAUUAUAUAGACUUAAUCUAUCUAUUAACCAUUGGAGUUAUAUCAGUUUCUACAGUUUUAGAAACUAAAGAGUCAAUGGAGAAAGUAAGAAAAAAUUGCAAAACGAGGACAUUCCAAACAUUCGUGUAUGCAAGUCGCGCCCCAUACAAGUUCAAGGUCCGAAGGCAUUUCAGUCCGUGAUUUGCACCACCUAUGCACGCACGUGGAGAGAGCAUCUACACUACAUAUGAUUAUACAAUUCCAUUAUGCAAUCAUAUUUAAAGUGGUUCUUACUUUCAUAUUUUUCCUAUGUGGGACAAACUCAUUUUUCCUACAUUAACCAUCUUUAAAUGGUCAACUUUGAGCUCCAAUUUUUUAUUCACCCGAACUUCAUUUUCGACAAGUAAAUAUAUGAUUUCGAUACUCUCACAGAGGAGAACACGAAUCAACUUUGAUCUUCCUAAUUGGACCAACGGUCCCAUCAAAAAGUGUGCCACAAAUGAGCUAUUUACUUAUAUUUUCCAACAAAUUUCCUACAAUCCGCAGUGGCUGACCAGCCACCAAGAAGACUCCCAAAUUCUACCAAGCUGAUGAUGUCAAGACGCGGCCUUAUAACAAGCGCAAGUACAAGUCCACAAAACUUAGGUAAUUUUCAAAUUUAUUUUUUUUAUUUUUCUCUUUUUAUUUGAGAUUUGGGCUAUGAGUUCUACUUUAUAGAUUCCGUUAUUUUGUUUUGCUUUUAGUUUCAAUUGAGAUUUAGAUGAUAGUUCCUCCAGUGUUUGAUCAAUGUUACUUUUUGUUUUUGGUUAUAGGGCAAGCAUUAUUCCAGGGACUGCUUUGAUUAUAUUGAUCGAAAGAUUUAAGGGAAUCAUGUUGUUUUUUUGAAGCACCUUGCUUCGAAUUGUUGCUUGUUAUUGGCUAGUUUUUUUUUUUUAAAAUAAUGUGCCAAUUUGCUUCAAGCUUGGUUCGUCCAACCAAUUUUGACAACACUAGAUGCAUAUGUACAUAAAUCAAGGAUGUAUGGACUCUUGGAGGGAAAAAGCACAAGGUGAAAUAAACUGAAAAUAUGGUAGGAUAAAUAUCCAUUUUAUAAGAUUAUGCUCAAGUUAAAUGUUCAAUAUUGUUAAAGCUUUGUUUUUUAUUGGAUUUUAUUAUUUGCUGACGAGUUUCCUCUAUUUUUGGGUUAUCAAAGUCGUGAUGAAUUUGGAAUUUGUUUUUCUUUGAGAAAUAUGUAGAUUAGAUUAAGGAUUAGUUUCGUCUUUACCCCCAUUUUAGUUUACAAUUUGAAAGAACAUGAAGACUCUGCUGAUAGUAUUAUGUAUUUUGGUUGCUGCGGCAACCAGUUGCACUGAGAAAAAUCAAGAUAGAAUCUUAAUACUAAACACAGUUGAGAUAACAUGUGGGAUUCUUCCUUUUUCACUCAUGAGUUCACCUUCUUCAUUAGUUAUGUUUUGUUGUUUAGCUCAUGUUCUCCAGUCUUAUCAAUUUCUUGAGAAACUCUACUCUAAAUAUUCUAUUUUUCUACACGAUGGGGAAUUCGAAAUUGAGCGUUGGUGGACAAGAUUUUAGUUAUGGAGUUCUUACAACAAUCAAACGUGGAGCCAAGACUGAUGUUUUGGGCAAAGAGGGUAGUCUUGGUAUGGAUGAUGGUUAAUUUUUUUUCCUCUUAAAUUCAGUGUGUUCAGACUAUAUGGCUAAAUAUUUUAUUCGCCAUUCUUGAAGUGUAAAUUAUGGAAUUAUUAUUAUUAUUAUUUUUUUGCAUAUGGGUAUGUUGAAGCUGAUAUUCCAAGUGACCUUUUAGUUCAGAUUGGAGAUGUUUGUUCCAUUUACACAAGGUAAUUUCAUUUUCUUUGCUAGCCUAUAAAUAAUGAAUAUUGUUCGUGUUGAAGAGUAGGUUGACAAGACAAAGAGUGAUCAAGGAAUUGAAUGAAUAUGUCUGCAUUUUCAUGUUUGCUGUUAGUUAGUUUUUACAUUUAAUCAAACUUUAGCUUUUUUGAAAAUUUUCAUGUUCGUUGUUAGUCACGUUUGUUUGGCUUUUGUAAGCACUUCACUGGCUCUAUCCUUCUAAGUUCGUGUCUGUAAGUUAGCAUUUUUGCAUCCCAUGUAAGAAUAGAGGCAGUUACAAAUUGCCAAAAUCUGCACCAAUCUAAUCCACAAAAUAUGCAUCGAGAUUGACAUUGUUUCAUUGCACAAUCACAGUUGUUUUAUGCAUUCAACUUUCUCACUAAUUGCUGAUUUAUAGGAACUUUACCUGUAGCGGAUAGCUUAAUUAUAGGAGCAAUUGUUAUUCAUUCAAUCUGUAUAUAUAUGUAAUCCAGUCAUCUAAUGAAUGUGUGUGAAAUACUUUUCAAACCUUGCAUAUCUUUUCUAUAUGGUAUUAGUCUAAAAGCCACCAAAUCUCCACCGAGUACUAUCCUUUUCCUCACAUUUUCUGCAAAUCACCAUGGCCUCUGAACUCACUCCUAUAGCUAUCAACGCUACUCAGCAAAUAACCGUAAGGCUCACACCAACCAAUUUUCCUUCAUGGCAUGCUCAGUUUGAGUCUCUACUCCUCAGCUACAACCUCUACGGUUAUGUUGAUGGAACUCAUCCAUGCCCACCUAAACCAACCGAACCAGAUGUAACUGCCACUGCAGCCUAGCAACUAUGGUUUCGGCAGGAUAAACUCAUUUUAAGUGCUAUCCUAACCUCUGUCUCUCCAACUGUGAUAUCGCUCAUAGCAACAUCAAGGACAUCUUCCCAAGCUUGGAACAAACUCACCAAGCUAUAUGCUAGCCGAUCAAGAACCAGAGUCAUGCAACUCAAAGAGGAUCUUACCCUCAUAAAACGCGUCAAUCGCACAAUAACAGAAUACUUACACUCUGUCAAAGCAAUUACCGAUAAGCUUGCGUUAAUUGAUGCCCCUCUUUCCCAAGACGACAUCACAUUAUAUGUCUUACAUGGACUAGGCUCUGACUAUCGUGAUAUUGUUGCUCCAAUUCGUGCGACUUGAUUUAGCAGCGAAUCAUCUCUAACAUUUGAGGAGUUACAUGACCUCUUGAUUGGUCAUGAAGCCUAUCUGAAGCGACUUGAUUUAGCAGCACACUCUCUAGUGCUCACAGCCAACAACACUCAGCGCUAUGAUUCUCGUCCCUCAAAGCAACAAAACUAUCGACAACAAAUCAAAAACAAAGCAGUACAAGCAAUACAAACAUCCACCAAGGUGCCAGUUUUGUGAUGAGCAAGGACACAUUGCCAAAUACUGUCCCAAGCUGAAGCAACCAGAAACAUAUGCUAAUUGCACAACUGCUGCUCCGAGCCCAGACAGACGUUGGCUUCUUGACUCAGCCGCUUCUCACAACAUCACAUCACAGGUUUCAAAUCUCCAAUUACACUUUGAACAUGAUGGCACCGACGAGGUUAUUAUUGGAAAUGGAUCAGGUUUGCCAAUUACUCACUCUGGUUCCCUCGCUCUAAACUAUCCAAAUAGAAAGUUUAAAGUUCAAGAUACUCUGUGUGUUCCAGACAUAAAUAAAAACCUGAUUUCUGUGCAUCAUUUUACCAAGCAAAACAAUGUUUUAUUGGAAUUUGACCCCAACUUUUUUCUUGUGAAGGAUCAGAGAACGGGGGAGAUGCUUCUUCAAGGAACGUGUGAACGUGGAAUCUAUCCUUUACCUUCAUUAUCUGCUGCUACACCUGUUGCACUUAUCCAUGAAAGAACUUUAGCAACCGGUUGGCAUCAGAGACUUGGCCAUCCAUCCUCAAAAGUUGUUGAUCGAAUUAUUAGUUGUUUUUCUCUUCCAAUUAGUUCUUCUAAUUCGGCUUCUACUCAUUGUCAAUCAUGUCUCAUUAAUAAAGCUCAUAAGUUACCUUUUCACAAACAUGGUUUGACAAGCAAAACUCCUCUUAAUUUGAUCUACAUGGACGUAUGGGGACCCUCACCCAUAACAAGCCUCAAUGGUCAUCGAUUCUAUGUCAUAUUUGUUGAUCACUUCAUAAAAUACAUUUGGUUUUUUCCAUUGCACCAAAAAUCAGAUGUUAAACAUAUAUUUCAACAUUUCUAUAAAAUGAUUGAAACAAAGUUUAACAUAAAAAUUAAAGUCGUGUAUUCUGACAAUGGGGGUGAGUUUGUUGCAAUUAGACCUUUUUUCACUAAAAAUGGCAUCAGCCAUUAUACAACAGCCCCUCAUACACCCCCAACAAAAUGGGGUUUCUGAAUGUCGGCAUAGGCACGUAGUCGAAAUAGGCAAAACUCUUCUCACUCAUGCCUCACUUCCGUCAGAAUAUUGGGCUUACGCCUUUGCCACAGCCACAUAUUUGAUCAAUAGACUUCCCUCACCUGUUCUCCAACAUAAAACACCACUUGAAGCUCUCUUCAAUCAAACUCCUCGGUAUGAAAAAUUGAGAUCAUUUGGGUGCCUAUGCUUCCCAUGGCUUAAACCUUAUAAUGAAAAAAAGCUUCAAAAUAAAUCCGUCCCAUGCGUCUUUGUUGGUUACUCAACUAGUCAAAGUGCAUAUAUGUGUCUUCAUCUUCCCACUAGGCGACUCUACACUUCUAGGCACGUCAUAUUUGAUGAAUCUAUCUAUCCACUCAAAACAGAGGCAACAACAACAAAUUCUAGACCCAUUUCUCCCGCAGAUGAAUUCAUCUCAGGACCCAUUCUGCAGCUUGUUUCUAAGGAUAGAUCACAUGAUUCACGACAUCAAGAAGACAUCUCAACUGCUUCUCCUACUUCCAAUGAAGCUCCAAUGCCAACAUCUCCAGUCUCAGAUCAGUUAGUCCAAACAAAUUUACCUCCUUCAUUACCACAAACCACUCGAACUAUUGUUACAAGGUCCAUGAACAACAUUUUUUGGCCUAAGCAAAUUCAUCACACGUCCACACACUCAAUGCCGAAAUCGCAAGAACCCAUCUGUGUCAGUCAAGCUCUCAAGGAUCCUAAUUGGCGUACAACAAUGUCAGAUGAAAUCACAGCACUAAUUCAUCAUGGAACUUGGGAAUUAGUUCCUCAAGCUCAAGACCAAAAUCUGGUCGGUUGCAAAUUUGUAUUUCGCAUCAAGCGAAACUCAGAUGGCACAAUAAAUCGCUCUAAAGUGAGACUUGUCGCCAAAGGCUUUCAUCAAAGACCGAGAGUAGACUGCUCUCAAACAUUCAGCCCAGUGGUAAAACCAGCAACAAUUAGGUUGAUUUUAACAAUUGCUGCUAUGCAUGGAUGGACAAUGAGACAGUUAGACGUCAACAAUGCAUUCCUACAUGGCACUCUUGAAGAAACUAUUUCAUGCAUCAACCUCUCGUUUUUGAGGAUCAAUCUAGACCUCAACAUGUAUGCAAACUAAAGAAGAGCAUCUAUGGGCCAAAGCAAGCACCACGACAGUGGUACAAAGCUCUCAAGGAAGCACUACUCAGUUUCGGAUUCCAACAUUCAGCAACUGAUAACUCUUUGUUUAUUUUUAAAACUAAUGAAACUCUAUGUUAUUGCCUUGUUUAUGUUGAUGAUAUAAUUAUCACAGGCAACAACAAGAAGCAUGUUGAUAAAAUCAUACAGCAGCUUGGAACGACCAUUUCAGUCAAAGACAUGGGCAGCCUACAUUACUUCUUGGGCAUAGAAGUUAUUAACACAGAAAAAGGGCUCUUCUUAUCUCAGCAAAAAUACAUUCGGGAGUUGUUAACAAAAGCAUCCAUGGAGAAUACAAAAGAAGUUCAAACUCCAAUGUCAACAGGAGCAAAACUCUCAAAAACACAAUGACUGAUGACAUAGAUGGAACUGAGUACAGAAAAAUGAUUGGUUCACUACAAUACUUGGGACUCACACGUCCAGACAUUGCCUUUUCUAUCAAUAAACUUGCUCAAUACAUGCAAAACCAAAAUCAAAUCAUUGGGCAGCAGUCAAACGUCUUCUACGGUAUCUCAAGCAAACUAUCUUCUAUGGUCUUCUCCUACAGAAAAAUGCAAAACUUGAGCUCAAGACGUAUAGCGAUGCAGACUAGGCAUCAAAUACAGAUACUUGGGUCUCUACAACGGCCUUCAUCACAUUUCUUGGAACAAGUCCCAUCUCAUGGUCAGCACAAAAGCAACGAGCAGUCUCCAAAUCCUCUACAGAAGUAGAAUUUCAUGCCCCGGCCACUGCUACAUCAAAAACUGUGUGGCUGCACUCCUUCAUUGAAGAACUUGGACUCAAGCUUCAACAUGCACCUCAACUAUUCUGAGAUAAUAUUGGANNNNNNNNNNNNNNNNNNNNNNNNNNNNNNNNNNNNNNNNNNNNNNNNNNNNNNNNNNNNNNNNNNNNNNNNNNNNNNNNNNNNNNNNNNNNNNNNNNNNNNNNNNNNNNNNNNNNNNNNNNNNNNNNNNNNNNNNNNNNNNNNNNNNNNNNNNNNNNNNNNNNNNNNNNNNNNNNNNNNNNNNNNNNNNNNNNNNNNNNNNNNNNNNNNNNNNNNNNNNNNNNNNNNNNNNNNNNNNNNNNNNNNNNNNNNNNNNNNNNNNNNNNNNNNNNNNNNNNNNNNNNNNNNNNNNNNNNNNNNNNNNNNNNNNNNNNNNNNNNNNNNNNNNNNNNNNNNNNNNNNNNNNNNNNNNNNNNNNNNNNNNNNNNNNNNNNNNNNNNNNNNNNNNNNNNNNNNNNNNNNNNNNNNNNNNNNNNNNNNNNNNNNNNNNNNNNNNNNNNNNNNNNNNNNNNNNNNNNNNNNNNNNNNNNNNNNNNNAGGUUUUGGAAGGAGCGGCAUCAUGUUAAGACAUGGAUAUGGUCUAUCUAAAUCAACAAAAUUGAAUAACAAUCAUAAUUUUUUAAAAUUUUUUUAAUUCAAAUUAGAAAUGGAAUUACCAACAAAAGUUCGUUGCUAAUUGUUGACGGUUUUUAAUCUGUAGGUAAUUUUUGACGGAAAAUUGUUACUAAUGUUGUUGCUAAUUAGCUAUGGAAAUAGUCGUCGAUAAAUACCAACGAGUUUUUGUUGCUAAUUUAUUAGCGGUCAAAGAAAUCCGUCGAUAAAGUAAUAGCAAGGGUUUCACAAUUGGAUUUGUAGACGGAAGGAUUUGAUCGCUAAAGAUUUUUAGCAAUGGGAAUCAUGGCUUCAACAAUGAUGAAAAUUUUCGUCUCUAAUGAAGAGUUUUUUUGUAGUGGCACCAACCCUAUUUGUGCAAGCCUACAUAGGGUACAAGAUCGAAAAGAAUGAUUGUGGCAUACCAAGUGAGAUGUUUGGAUAAAAGGAACGAGGAGAAGACUCCAUGAAUGAAGACAAAUGCUUUGAGAUUCACUGGAUUGUGACAUGUGGCAAUAUCUACAUGGUCCUUUGAUCAUCAGUUACAAUCACUACUUUGUUGGGUGAUGUAUUCAAAGGGUUGGUGUUGGGAGGCAUAAUUCAUUUAUUACUUUUGCAUAGACACUUUUGGUUUUCACUCUAUUUGAGCAACCUUUCUCUUUUCAUCUCCUAGAGUUUACUUUUUGUUUAAUUAUGCAAGAUUUACCAAUGAUAUUUAGAGUUUCAUGGUCUCCUUGUGUGAGUUUGACUAUCUCAACUCUUAGGCAUGGGUUGAGUGUUUAUUAUUCUUAAAGAAUGACUAAUUGUUGGAAUUUAGUGUACUGGACGAAACCAGAUUCAUUCAUGCCGUAUAUACACUUUACAUGUUGGGUUUAUGCAUAUCGUAUAUGCAACAUACCGUAUUUGCACAGCAGAUCAUAUAUACAACAGCUUAGCAUACCGCAUUUACAACUUAACGUAUAUGCAGUAUAUUGUCUUUAGAUACUGUAUUUUCAUAUAUCGAUUUUGCACUUACACUCAUCGAAAUUGCAGAACACCGUAUAUUUACUUACCAAAUCGAAUGUCAAAAAAUUUUUAAAUUUUUAUUUUUUUCCAACAUAAGUAGAAAAUAAAUUUUAAAAUAUAUGAAGCACAAAAUAUAAUCGCAUAUGAAUAUGUAAGUCAAACAUGUAAGAUAAAAAUUCAGGAAAUAAAAAAUAAGAAAUGAGUCUUCAACCCGAGACCUGUGCGAGUACAAUUUCCUUAAAACAGAUUUGCCUCCUCACCGAGCGUCUGUUUCCCAGGAUACAACGGUAAAAUCAGUAGCAUCUAAGCACCACAGAUACUACUCUGAUGAACUGAUUAGUAUCCGAACAAUAUCACCACCAAGAUGACACUGUUAGGAAAAAUUAUGUGUGUUGAAUGAUACUGUGAUGUGGAACAGUUUUUCUUUGUAUUUCAUCUAUGUAGUAUUUUUGUGUGUUCUGGAAUUGUUGGAAAAUGAGACUUAAUAUAAGAUAAAUGUCAUUAACUCUAUGACAAUAAAUAUUUGAGUCACUUUAGUUUAUGCUGGAGUUUUAGCAGUUUCGGAAACUCAAAAAUCAAUUAGAGAUAGCCAAAAAAAAAUUCAAAACGUGGACACUCCAAACGGGCCAAUUUUUGCUCCAUUCAGUUCGACAUUCAUGUACGCAGAUCGCGCUCACACACUAGUUCAAGGUCCAAAAGCUAUUUCAGUUCGUGAUUUGCACCUCCCCUCUCCCUACAUGCGCACGUGGAGAGAGCCUCUAUAUUAUACAUGAUUACACCCUUCCAAUGUGUAGUCAUAUAUAAAGUGGUCAAUGCUUUCUUCAUUUUCCUAUGUGGGACAAAUUUAAUUUUUCCACAUAAACUAUCUUCCAAUGAUCAACUUUGGGCUCCAAUUUCUCAUUCAUCCAUUCAUCAAUUUUUGUAAGUAAAUAUAUGGUUUUGAUGCUUUCACAGAGAAGAACACGGAUCAACUUUGAUCUUCCAAAUUAAACCAAUGGGUCCCACCGAAAAUUGUACCAAAAGAGAGCCAUUUACUUAUUUUUUCCAACACUAAUAUCUUGUCGAACAUAGAUAUGUAAAACAUUUUACACUUGGUACAUUGGGCUUGUACAUGAGGUCCAUGGGGGUAGGCUAGAUUUCAUGACAUAUUCGACUUGAUUUCAUGACAUAUGAGACUUCCUUACAACCAAUAAGAAAAAUUAACGUUAAUUUUGAAAUCAAUUUGAUGCCCAAACUAAAUGUAUAAAAUUAUAAUUUACUACCUUCUAAUUUGAAAUCCUUCUUUCAAUCCGAGCGUUCAACACAAAAUCAUGUCCAAAAUCCAAGGCGAGAGGCUAGAUUCACGAGCAGUGAUGAGAGGAAAUGAGAUGCAGAAGAGACGAGAGUAAUGUUAUUUAAAUUGAUAACCCUAGACGAGUUGAAUUUUAUUUGAUAACCGCAAAUUCGAGACUUGAAACGUAAUGCAACUCAGCCUUAAAUCUGAUUCUUCAACCUAAUACCAACCCAAUUGAACUCAAAAAUUGACCCAAAUCGAUUGGUAUGGAUUGGGUUGAUCGGUUUGGAUUUGUUUCUGCCCAACCCCAAGUAGGUGAGUUUCAUCGAAUCACAUAAACUCUAUUGUUCUUUGGUGUUUUAUUUUUUACUUUUCGUUCGAUUAUUUCUUUCAAAAUCUUGGGUAAGAUAUGAAACCAGGAUUAAGUUAAUAUGUUAUAACUUAUUUUACUUUUCGUAGACUUACAAUAAGAUUAUAAUGUUACUUUCAGUAUUGAUCAUUCAAGUUUUUCUAAGUUAUGUUAAUGGUCAUUCAAGUAUUUUUCUUACAAUAAUGGUCACUCAAACUUCUAAUAGUUACGCUAGUGGUCAUUUUGUUAAAGAAAUUAAUAUCAAAGCCUACCUUGCACCUUUAAGUGAUUAUGUAUCACGAAAUAGUGUUAUUCAUGAUGCCAUGUUACUCAAAUCGUGCUCAAAAAUUAAAAUACAUGACAUGUUUGUCAGAUUCUACGAAAAUUUGAGACAUUUUUAACGGAAAUUUAUUGAAAAUUUUGUCACAACUUUUAAUUCUUGAGGCAUUUUAAAUAACAUCAUUUGGUGAAACGUAGGUACAUAAAGGUAUCGAGUAGAUUUUGAAAAGUAUUAGAAACUUGAGUGACCACGCCGUAAAAAAGGUACUUCAAUUCGAAAACUUGAAUGAUCAUAAUUGAAAUUAACCCCUAAAAUGUUGUAGCUAGACAUAAAGAUUUACGAAUAUCAAGAAUAAAAUAAACUUCAAAGGGAGUUCAGAUUGACCUCUAGCUAAGGUGCAAAAAUAAAGAAGCUUUUCAUGUCCCCAACCAAACGAGUAUAAUGUAAAAGUUGAAGAAACUACAAUUCAUUCGCCUUAGUCAUAUUCUUCGUUACUAUACGCAAUAUAGUCUUCAUUACUUUUGGACUUGCUAAGUGAAAAAGAUUUCAUAAAUUUAUCAUUUUACGCCAAGUUCGAAAAUUCAUAACAUCAUCGAAUUCUCCAUAAAUAUAUCCAAAAGCAUCCCGAUAUUCAACUUGAGCAUAGAUAAAAAGGUGGUGCCCCACCCUAAACUCAGCACCACAUAAAUCAUUUACUUAUAUAUCAUCUAUUAUCUUCGUCCCACGAUUCAAAUACAUGCUACAAAACUAUGGGAGAAAAAAAUAAAAUAAAAAAUUUCAUGUCCUCAUCUCUUUCAGCCCAAUUUUCUAUGUUUUGCAAGGAGAAAAGCCUAAAUCUAAAAUGAAGGAUGACAUUUUUUUUUCCUAUUUAACUGCAAAUCUUGUGUCCGUUCAUGUGAAUUAAUCAAGAAUCAUUUUCGUUUGGAGUAAUAUUAUUUAGCAUCAUUAAAAUUAGAAUAAAAGUUUAGGUGAUAUUAAAUGCCAUUAAAUGAAUGGUAUAAUUAAAUCAAUCAAAUAAUUUCAUCUUAAUUCAAUCCAUCACAUAACACAUAUAGAUAGGUGUUAGUUAUCGUUAUUCUUUUUGAGUAAUGUUAUUUAACACUACUAGUAUUUAGGGAUGUAAACCAGCGGGCCGAGCCAGCUUGCGAGCCUGAAGUUUCGGCUCGGGCUCGGCCCGAUUAAAAUGGUCGAGCUUUUUUGCUGGCUCGAGUUGGGCUGAGGGGCUGGCCCGAGCUUUUGCCCGGGCUUUUUCCAGGCCGAGCAGGGCAGGUUCGUUUUCUCCUCUUUUUUAUUUUUUAUUAUUCCCCCCCCCCCNNNNCUUUUUUUUUUUUUUUUUUUCCCCCCCCCCCCCCAAACUGCUGCCUUCAAGGUAGCGAGUUGCUGCCUUUAAAAGGCAGCCUCAAAAUUUAAUUUAAAUUUUUUUUUUUUAACUCGCGAGCUCACGGGCCGGCUCGGGCAAAGCCCGUGUCCCCAAAAUGGGGCUCGGCCCUAGCCUAGGCCCGGGUCUACCGAGUCCCGAACUGGCGAGCCCAAUUGCCAUCCCUACUGCUAUUACAACAUCAAUUUAGAUGGUACUAAGUACUAUUAAAUAAAUGGUACAAUUCAAUGAAUUACAUAAUUUCACCUUGAAUUCAGUAUAUCAUAUAUUGUCACAUAAAUCGAUGUUCUAAUACCAUUGGUGCAAAAUAAUAUUAUUUUUCUGAAUAAUACUAUUUAACACUACUGAUAUUACAACAUCAAUCUAUACGACAUUAAAUCUUUUUAGAUGAAAGGUAUAAUUAAAUUAAUUACAUAAUUUCGCAUUUAAUUCAACAUGUCACAUAAUGACACAUAGACUGAUUUUCUAACACUACUGAUACUGAAUAAUAUUAUUCUUUAUGAGUAAUACUAAUUAACACCACCAGUAUGACAAUAUCAGUCAAUGUGGCACUAAGUGUCAUUAAAUGAAUGGUACAUCUUUAUGAAUCACAUAAGUUUACCUUUAAUUCAACCUAUUACAUAAUACCACAUAAACUGGUGAUCAAUCAUCAGUGGAGCUAAAUUGUAUUAUUCUUUCUAAGUUGAUAUUUAGCUACUGAUAUUACAACACUAACAUAGUUGACACUAGAUGUCAUUAAAUGAAUUACAUAAUUUCACAUUAAAUUCAACAUAUCACAUAAUGUCACUACUGCUAUUUAACACUACUAAUAUUACAACACCAAUGGAGAUGACACUAAAUGUUAUUAAUUGAACGAUAUAAUUAAAUUAAUCGCAUAAUUUUACAUUUAAUUCAACAUAUUACAUAAUAUCACAUAGAUUAAUGCUCUGAUACAACUGAUACUAGAUAGCAUUAUUCUUUUUCGAGUAAUAUUAUUUAACACCACUAUUAUUACGACACUAGUAAAUGUGACACUAAGUAUCACUAAAUGAAUAAUAUAAUUAAAUUAAUCACAUAAUUUCACCUUUAAUUCAACAUAUCACAUAAUACCACAUAAAAUGAUUCUCUAGCACCACUGGUGCGUGAUAACAUUAUUCUCUCUAAGUAAUGCUAAUUAGCACAACCAAUAUUACAAUACUAAUAUAGGUGACACUAAAUAUCACUGAAUGAAUGAUACAGUUAAAUGAAUCAUAUAAUUUCACUUUUACAUAUGGCCAAAUACAUUGAUGCUCUGGCACCGUUAGUGUUAAAUGGCAUUAUUCUUUUUGAUUAAUAUUAUUUAAUACCAUUGGUAUUACAACACUAGUUUAGAUGACACCAAAUAUCAUUAAACAAAUUAUACAAUUAAUUGAAUCAAAUAAUUUCAACUAAAUUCAACCUAUCACAUAAUGAUACAUUAAUUGGUGCUAGAUAACAUUAUCUUUUAUAAGUAAUGAUAUUUAACACUACUGGUAUUAUGAUGCUAGUCUUGGUGACAAUAAGUGUCACUAAAUGAAUUUUAAUAUUAAUUGAAUUACAUAAUUUCAAUUUAAUUUAACAUAUCACAUAAUUCCAUAUACACUGGUGCUAGAAAACAUUAUUUAGUUUGAGUUAUGUUAUUUAGUACCACCAGUGUAACAACACCAAAUUAGGUGGUACUAAAUGUCAUUAAGCCCCCGUUUGGCUCCCAUUAAAACUCAUCAAUUUAAUUUAAAUUUUUUUCUCUCUUAUUUUCAAUCACACAAUCUUCAAUAAAAUAAUAUUACACGCAAAUCGAAAAGUUUUCAUUCUUUUACAACCAUCCAUUUUUCAAAAAAUUACUAUUCCCUCAUUAUAAAUCCAAAUAAUAGGGAUCAAAGUUAUAAAUCCAAAUAAUGGGGAUCAGACAGGGGCUAAAUGAAUUAUACAGUUAAAUGAAUCAAAUUGUUUAACCUUUAAUUUAACGUAUAAUAUAAUGCUACAUAAAUAGGGAUGUCAAUUGGGCCGAACUGGCUCGCGGCUCGUCAACUCGGCUCGUCAAAGCUCGGCUCGUGGGCUGCUCGGGCUCGUCAUUUAGCCGAGCGGGGGGUCCGUCCAACGAGCCGAGCCCUCGGCUCGUCGAGCGAAAAUUUUAUCAAUAAAAUUUGAAAUUUUUGCAAAAAAUAAAAUAAAAAAUACGCGAGCUCGUGGCUGGUGAGUACACGAGCUCGCCCACGAGCAACGAGCCACAAGCUCGGCUCAUCACGAGCCCCAGCCGAGCUCCCCUCAGCCCACUGCCAUCCCUAUACAUAAACUAGUAUUCUAGUACCACUAGUACUCGGUAGCAUUAUUCUUUCUAAGUAAUGUUAUUUAACACUACCAAUAUUAUAACACCAGUUUAGAUGAUAUUAAGCCCCCGUUUGGUUCACAUUCUUUGGCCACAAAAAUAAAAAAUAUGACCGUUGUCCAUCACAUCAAGUCACCAUAUUUGACUUUCUAUCUCUAAGUGUGGGUUCCAUAAUAGUUAUAUUUUUCAUUCUCAUUCAUAGAAAAAUGUGAAUCAAACAGACCCUAAGUAUCAUUAAAUGAACGAUUCAAUUAAAUAAAUCAAAUAAUUUCACCUUGAAUUCAACAUAUCACAUAAAUUAAUGCUCUAGCACCAUUGAUAUUACAACACUAAUCUGGAUGGCACUAGAUGUUUUUAAAUGAAUGGUACAAUUAAAUGAAUCGCAUAAUUUUACCUUUAAUUCAACAUAUUACAUAAUGCCACAUAAAUUGAUGAUCUAGCACAAAACUGGUUCUAAAUAACGUUCUGAGUUAAGGUUGACAACGGUUCGGUUCGGGGUCAAUUCGAUCAAAACCAUCACUGAACCACCAAUUUUUUGGUCAUACUGUAACCGCACCAUAACCACGUAAGUUGGUUCGAUUCAACUCAGAUCGUAUCUCGAUUCGAGCAGUUAAUAACCAUAAAAAUAAAUUAUUUUUUAUAGAUCCAACCGUCAAAUUGCAAAAAAAAAAAAAAAAAAAAUGAAGUUAACGAAAACAAAUAUACAAUACUAAGCCAAUUUAACAAGCAACAUCCCAAAUGAAAAUGCAAACAAUAUCUCAAUUUCCAAAUGCAAAUUCCGUUAUAGUCCAAUUUUGAUUGGUAAUAAAUACCGAGCAUUGCAAUAUUUGAUUGAAAAAAUCUGAAUUUAACAAACAAUUUUAAUAUAUGUUUAAUAUUUUUGUAGUAGGAUAUAUGGUUACUAAAUUAGGUUAGUUGAACUUAGCGGGUCAAUAAUGAGCCAGAAUUUUGGGCUAAACGAAAUCAUAGAAAAUAUAAUGGAAAGCUCUGCCCAAUUAAUUUUUUUAAUGGAUAAUCUUUUUGGGGCGGGGCGACGGCGUAAAUGCUAAACCAGCCCUGCCUCGAACCGGAGCAUUAAAAUUAAGUACCGUAUCUACCUCAUUGCACCAUUGGUUCGAUUUAUUCGUCUAAUUCGGUUCGAUUAACUGUGAUUUUCGAUUUUGACAAUUCGAAUUGUCAUCCCUAUUUUUUAGUAAUACUAUUUAACACCCUUGGUAUUACAACACCAGUAAAUGUGGCACUAAGUAUCAUUAAAUGAAUGAUACAUUUAAAUGAAUCAAAUAACUUUACCUGUAAUUCAAACUAUCACGUAAUGUCAUAUAAACUGAUGCUAUUGUAACACUGGUGUUAAAUAGUAUUAUUCUCUCUAAGUAAUAUUAUUUAGCAUCACUGAUAUUACAAUACCAAUAUAGGUGGCAUUAAAUAUCAUUACAUGAAUAGCACAAUUAAAUAAAUUACUUAUUACCUUUAAUUCAACAUACCACAUAAAUUAGUGUUAGAUAAUGUUAUUUAAAACCACUGAGGUUACAAUAACAAUUUAGGCAAUACUAAAUGUUAUACAAUUAAGUGUCUGUUUGGUACAGAUCUGAUUUUAAUUUGAGUCAGGGUCAAAGUUAAACAAUCAAUAUUAACCACAUUUUUUAUGCGUUCCAUAACUUUUCAACCACAUAUUUUAAAAAAUGUUAUCACAAUCUACUAAAAAAUCUAAUUUUAUUUCCCACCAAACAACCUUCAAAUAAAUCACAUAAUUUCACCUUUAAUUUAAUAUAUAAUAUGAUACCAUAUAAAUUGGUGCUCUAACUAGAUAACAAUGUUUUUUCUUUUGUGUUGAAAAGAGAUUUUAAAACAAAAAGUUGAGUAAGCAUGAGCGCAUAUUCCAUUCACGGCUAGCUUUGGCAGACGACAAAAGUCCAUUCGGCCUUUUCUUCACAAAAUAACCAAUUAACAAAAACCUUUGUAUUGAUCCCAUUAGAUACCCAAUUGCAUGUUCUCUUCUAACUACUAUCAUUUUUCUUGUUUUUUAUGUGGAUAUCUGAGUAUAAAUAUUAAAUAGCAGUAUCCAUAAGCCAGAAGCCAAAAAAUAAUCCAUUUAAGAUUGUUUUCUUGAUAAUUAAGUGGGACUAAUGGAAGCGCUGCCAUUGGCAACUGCAGUCGUAGUGGGUGGUCCGGUGCUGGCUCUUGGCGGCGUAACUUUGCUUUUUCUUAAAAAUUACAUAAAUGAUCAAAAGAGGAGAUCUACAAGCCUUACACUUCCACCAGGUUCUUCUUUUUCUCUUUAACUGUACAGGAUUCCUCAAUCCCUGCCCGGCUCAGUCAAAAGUCCCUUCUGAUCUUACUUUCUAUUUGUAUCCUAAUGAGAUUGAAAUAAAAUGGUGAAUUUAUUGCAGAGGUGCCAGGGUUACCAGUGAUUGGGAAUCUGCUGCAACUGAAAGAGAAGAAACCCCACAAGACUUUUGCCAAAUGGGCUGAGACUUAUGGUCCGGUGUUUUCUAUAAGGACAGGGGCCAACACCAUGGUUGUCCUUAACUCCAACGAUGUCGCCAAGGAGGUAGGUACCCUUCUCUGUGGAUAGCUGCCAAAUUAGAAUUUUUGGUCAGGAUAAUAAUUUUGUGAAUUUCAUAAAUUUUCUUUAGUAAGUCAAAAAUUUGAGUGGCAUUUUGUAUGAAAUUUUUUUUUAUUAAAGCACCACAUCAUGAGAGGCAAAGGAAAGGUCAGGUCCAUAAUAGCUAUGCUAUUGCUCUACUGAUUUAAGGCCUCUGCCGAAAAAUCUUCAUAGGUAGCGUUGGCACUGUCAAGUAAUCCUCGAUAUCCACUUUGUACACCCUAAUUAAGAGGCUAAUUCGUAGGUUCGAUUCCUGCUAGAUGCACUUGGAAAAUCGAUCGUUCCUCACGGAGAUCUUGUAGGAAGUGCUGUACUUUCUCAUUCAAAAAUAGACUUCUAUCCUCUGUAUGUAUGUUUGUGUGUCGAAUUUCAUGAAUGAUUCUUGGGCCUUAUCCACCUCAAUAUCUCUGUGGCUCGUCUUUUUUUCCACAGUAAAUGAAUGAUGUUUCGAUGGCCUCCUAAGUUCAUUGAUUGCCCCAACACUUAGGAUUAAAACAUAUAGAUUCUGCUAAGAGAAUGGUAAAAAUAGUACUAAGAGACAUCUUUUGAAAAAAUUCCCUCGAAAAAACGUGGCUCUGCCACUGCUGUUGAUUUCAUUCUUAGCUUGAAUUGCUUUCGAAAAGGUAGUGCUAUGGGGGCAAAAAUUGUAAGCUAGAGAUCAAGACGGGAACUAAGGAGAAUAAGACAUGACACAAAUUUACUUGGUUCGGUAAACAAAGCCUACGUUGCUGUGUGCGGGGGCAAGGGCGGGGGCGGUUGGGGAUUCACUAGGAAAAUGAGAUUGCUGGGCUUUUUCUUACAACUAUACUUCUUGCUUAUGAGAAACUUGCUCAUUUAACAAACCCGAAUGAUAUAUCCAAAUAUAGGCAUAGAAUUGGAUUAAACAGCACAAUAAAAAUGUGUUAGGCCAGUCCUCUGCUUAGUGAGUAUUGCACAAUAUAUGUUAUAAAGCUUUACGAAAAUUAAAUUAGACUUGAGUUACCAGAGACCAGAAUGCAGAAUAUUACAGGAGAUUAAGCAUGUUGAAUGUAGCAAGUUUCCUGUCUUUUCUUUAAUCAAAAUAAUAAUAUUGUGUUGCUGUAGCUUAUUCUUCCUUUGAUUUGUCCUGUCGUGCUUCUCAUAACUUGAAUAUUAAAACAUUUUGCAAUACCAAACUCAUUGAGAGAGUUCAUUAAUUAUUUUCUUAAGUGAUCAGCUUAUAAACUUCAUGAUCUGAUGCUGCAAUUAUUCAAUCAUCUGUGGGAGUCGGGAUGAUCAUAUUGUUCUCUCCACAACUCAUGCAAAAUUCUUAAAUUUGGCUUUAUUACAUUCCAUUUCCAUCUUACUUCUUUAAAUUAGCCUGUGCUAUGAACUGCUGUAUCUUGGGUUCUUCAUUAUGAAACUUAUCUGGAUUCCUUGUUUUACUUGAUGCUCUAUCUUAAUCUCGUGGACGCUAACUUAUCACUCAAAUUAUGUUACAUUCUUUUAUAUCCUUUUGCUUUGUACACUUAUGGCAUGCUCGGUAAGAGGAUUAAAUUGUACUACUUUCUAGUUUGUACCAAGCAUGCUCUUAGGUUACAUUAGAUGGCAUUAGGCAGAAUAAACAAACUUUUAUUCCUUGUUUGUUUUAGGCCAUGGUGACAAGAUAUUCAUCCCUCUCGACGAGAAAGCUAUCAAAUGCACUAAAGAUCCUCACAUCUGAUAAAAGUAUUGUUGCAAUGUGUGAUUAUAAUGAAUACUACAAGACCAUAAAAAGACACAUUCUUACAAGUACUCUGGGAUCAAAUGCUCAGGUUAGUGCUGUUAAAUAUGUCCUGCGAAGGUUUUUAUUGCCGUAAAAUUAUAUAGUUUUUGGUAGUGGAGAUAGUACUAAUUACAUCGGUUAUGGCAGAAACGACAUCGUGUUCACAGGGAUAUCAUGAUAAAUAACAUUACACAGCAGUUCCAUACUCUCGUGGAAUUGCAUCCUUCUGAAGCCGUAAAUUUCCGGAAUGUAUUUCAGUCUGAGCUUUUUGGAUUAUCACUUAAACAAGUGAGUUCACUUACUUCACAUUACAGUUAUUUGUAGCUCUUUAUACUCUAUCUAAGAUUGUGAUCAUAACAAGAUGUGUCCAUUACUCAGGCUAUUGGAAAGGAUGUUGAAUCCAUUUAUGUGGAGGAAUUAGGUGCUGUUUUGUCAAGAAAAGAGAUAUUUGAGAUUUUAGUUAUCGACCCUAUGGAAGGUGCUAUUGAGGUGGAUUGGAGAGAUUUUUUCCCUUAUCUAAAAUGGAUUCCCAACAAAGGCUUCGAAAAGAGAAUUCAGCAAAUGUAUUCCCACAGAGAGGCUGUGAUGAAGGCCCUUAUUAAGGAGCACAUGAAACGUAUUGCUUCUGGAGAGGUACUGUCACUUCCUUGAAGGUGUUACUUCUUUUUAAGUAAAAAAGUUAUAUAUUUUGGAAGUAACUCUUUUGCUUACUAUUGAAAUAAGUAACGUUUCCCUACUUUUAACCAUUCAGGAAAUUAUUUAUGAUGUAGCUAACCUUGUGACAGGAAAUUAACUGUUAUCUCGAUUAUUUGGUAUCUGAAACAAAUACGUUAUCUGAACAACAAAUAUUGAUGCUGCUUUGGGAAGCCAUUAUUGAAUCUUCAGACACUACUGCAGUGGUCACGGAGUGGGCCAUGUACGAGCUUUCUAGGAAUCCCGAAAAGCAGGUAUUUCAUUCACUCUGUUCGUCUAAUUCGUUUAUCGUUUUUUCAAAUAUUAUUUGUACAUAGUACUAAGUAAAAUUUCUUUCGGUUGAAACAGAAUCGUUUAUACCAGGAUAUUCAAAAUAUCUGUGGGUCUGACAAAAUUACAGAGGAAAAGUUGUGCCACCUUCCAUACUUAUCGGCUGUUUUUCAUGAAACUCUGAGAAGACAUAGUCCUGUCCCAAUAGUUCCUUUAAGAUAUGCGCAUGAAGAUGCACAAUUAGGAGGAUAUCAUAUUCCUGCUGGAAGUGAGGUAUUACUUUUCCCAUGAUCUAAUGCAAUUUCAUUUUCAAGACCAGAACUGUGGGCAGAUCUAAAGAUCCGUUGCCCCCACACUAAAUUUGAAAUCCAAGAUUUUACACAAGACUUUCAAAACAAAUUCCUUAUAAUUUUCAAUUUUGACCCCACAAUUAGAAUUUUGUGAAAUUUGCCUUUCACAAUUCUACUCUCCUGACUGAACCUUUAGUCUGGAAUUGUAACAAUGGAUUGUAUUCGCAGAUUGCUAUAAACAUUUACGGUUGCAACAUGGACAAGAAAAUAUGGGAUUCUCCCGAAGAGUGGAAUCCGGAGAGAUUCCUUGACGGGAAAGGUGAUUUGAUGGAGCUACACAAGACUAUGGCUUUUGGUGGGGGAAAGAGGGUUUGUGCAGGUGCUCUCCAAGCAAUGUUAAUUUCGUGUGUGACAAUUGCUCGAUUAGUACAAGAUUUUAAAUGGAGACUCAAAGAUGGAGAAGAAGAAAAUGUCGAUACGUUGGGGCUAACGAAUACCAAACUCAAUCCUCUGCUAGCCAUGAUGGAGCCAAGAAAUUGAUGAAGUUGGUAAAUUUGUUAUCAUGCAGCUAUUAGUUUAUUAAGGGACUCUUCUCCAAUCUUUCGGAGUAUUUCCUUAGUGAAGUCAGAUCUACAGGUUAAUAUUUUCAUUUUUGGAGCGUUAUUUUAUGAAUAAAGGGGAUGCAGGGUUGCAUCCCCUAUAUGCUUCAAGCUUGUAAGUUGUACCUUCGUAUCUUACCUCCAGCUUUUAUCGACUUGCACACUAAUGAGCUCGACUAGUCUGUUUGAUAGUAUAGUUAAAGAUUCAGCAUAUUUCUCUGCUUUCUGAAUUUAUGAUACUUCUAUAGUUUUGAAGAUAAUAUAUGCUUUUACAUUCUUUACACCAAUUUGACAUGUGGUUCAUUUACACAGCCAAGAAGGUAAAGUCACUUUGUCAAAAAAAGGUUAACAGAUAUCUUGACAUAAUGGAUUUUGACAAAAUAUGAUUGGAUGGAGACUGUGUUUUAAACAGUCUAAUGAUAGAAUGUCAUAUGACAUUGUAUGAAGGAUUAUGUUAACCUCUCAAGCACUAUAGCAUGAUUUAGUCAAGAUGGUUGCGUUGUUAAUAAUUUUAUCAGAGUUUUAUGUUAUGUGAUAUGAUUUGAAGAUAGUGGUGCACUGGUGCAUAGGCCUCUUACUUCAUGAUGCCACUUCUCUGUGUUAUGUUCCUUGGCUGCAAACUCGGGUAAUCUACCAAUAGGCAAUGGUCCGUGUGAUUGUAGUCAAAAUAAAUCUCACUUAGUUGCUUGACGAAAUUUUUGUCAGUUUGACUAUGAAUUUGUGAUUUGUCCUCCAUACAUAGUCAAAUUGUGUUGUGAAGAUGCUUGUUAAUCAUUAGGUUGUCAAUUUUUUCUUAACUCGAUCUAAAGACUCUAAUUGCAAAAGAAGCUCUCUGAGUAAACUAAUUUGAAGACUGAGUCUUUCCUUGUUAGAGUACCCUCAAGCGUAUUUAGGUUGAACAAGGUGAAGUUUUGUUCAAAAUAUCAAGUCAUAGUCGGUCAUUCAUUUGCUCACGUGACAGUCUACUUUCUAAGAUUUAUUGUUAGAAUUGAAUUAGUUGUACAUUCUUUUUGUACAACUAAUUUGACAUCAUUUGAUUUGUCAAAAUCAUGAACAUUGAUUUAAAUAAGUGUUAAUUAAGUUAAUGGUCAUGAUUUUGACAUAUCAUGAACGUCAAACUUAGGGAGUGUUUGUACCCCCAUUAUUUUUUAGAGUAAUGUAUUAUGAAAUAGUGAUUAAUGUUGAAAUGUGUGGUUAAAAGAGAAGAAAAAGUUUUUGAUUUACGUGUAAUAUUAUGUUAAUGAAUAAUGUGUUCUUGAAAAUAAGCAAUGUAGAAAAAAUAAUAUGGUAGAAUGUGAAAAAAUAUAAACAAACAAAACCUUAAUGUACAAAAUGAAUUUAUGCAGCAGCUUUGUGUUUGUUAUGUAAUGGCAUGAUGGAGUUAUCAAGUCUAAUCAACCCAUAAGGAAUUUACAUGACUGUUUAUUUCUCAUUCUUCCCCCAUUAAAAUAAAAAAUAUGUUCGUUAUCCAUCACAUCAAGUUAUCAAAUUUAAAUUUAUAUCUAUUGUGUAAGGUUCAUAACAACUAUAUUUUUCAUUCUCAUUUAUACAAAAAUAAGAAACAAAUGUCCCCUUUUAAUCUUUCAAUAAAUUUCAGGAUGAUAUGUUCUUUAAAAUUCAUUUUUUUAAAUACAUUUUUAGUCACGCAUUUUUCAAAUAAAAUAACCUGAAAUGUGAAUUCAUAAUUUUUCAUAUUUUUAAUCACACUUAAAAAAAAAAAAUUACUUUACACAAAAUGGCUCUCACGUAUUUAGAGAAUAGAUCAUGGCUCCACUCAAAGCAUGUACAGGUCAUAAUGACGUUGAGACUAUUAUAAAAAAUAAUAAUAAUGUUACUUAUCAAUAAUGAUUUACAUACUGAUGAUAUAGGUAAAUCCAUAUGUACAGAAGAGAUUUUGACAGAAGUCUCACAGAUUACUCACAUCGAAGGUGGGUCCCACGUCAAACUCCAUGAAUUAAAAAAUGGCCAAAAUGUGCUUAUCCCACCCCAUUGUGAGACCUCUGUAAGAGGUCUGUAAAUGGUGGGUUUGUACACCUAGCAAGACCCCUGAUGAUAUAUUAAAAAGAGAGUGAAAAGGAUUUUUCAUUUAAUUGAAAAUUUUUGACUCAAUCAUAUUUCACUCACUAUAUAAAUUAUCAUGUACAUGUACCAAAGUCGAAAAAAUAAUAACAAUAAAUAAUUUAAAGGGAGAAUUUAUAUCAGAAACUUGUCAAACAUACAACACAUAACCGAUGCCCAAAAAUGAAAGUUGGAAUUUUGGCUUUUUUAAUUCCAUAGUGGAGCAGGGCAUCCAAUAUUUGAUGUUAUAAUUUUGGGAAUAGUAUUUUAUUUUUUAAAAAUAUAUGAUUAAAAAGAAGAAAAAAAUUGGUUUAUGUGUAACAUUAUUUUAUUAGAGAAUAUGUGGUUAAAAAAAGUAGAAAAAAUAUAUUACAGAUAAAAAUUAAGGCCCCGUUUGGUAGCAUUUUUUUCAAAAUGCAUUUUUCUCUCUCUUUUUUUUAACCACACAUUCUUUAUUAAAAUAAUAUUACACGUAAAUCGAAAAAAAUUCUUGUUUUUCCACUAUACAUUUUGCAUCAAUUUACUAUUUUAAAAUGUAUUUUUACAUAAAAAUGUCUAUCAAACGUCCCCUAAAAUUUAGAUUUUAAUAACUUGAUAAAAUAAAUGAUUGAAAAAGUUGUGAAUCCUGUUAAAUAUGUUAUUAGAAUUUAGAUGCUUAUAUUGAUUUAAAUUAAAAUUAAAAUUUUAAUUCCUAUCAAAUAGACAUUAAACAAAUAAAAUUUAAGGAUUAUGAGACAAAAGAACUUCAUCAAAGUCCAAUACAAUUUAAAUUCUUAAUUAUCCACUCCCUAUAUAAGUUACUUCCCCGCUCCUCCUUCAAUGAUCGACUACUCUUAUAGUAGAUAGAAUUGUUCAUUAUUAUAGAUUUUCAACUACUUUUCACUCGAUUAAGAAAUUUUCAAAUGAAAUUAAAUCCCAACAAAUCUUAGAUCUUGCUUUAAAAGUAUUUAUAAACAGUUAAAAUUAUAAAUAAAAAUUAUUAAUGAUGAAUGAGCGAAUACUACUUUAAAAUUUAUUGAAAUAUGUGGAUCAAAAGGGACGCAAGUAAUUAUAAAUAUGAACAAACAUAGCGUUAAAUAAUACCCUUGUUUAAGCCCCGUUGUUUUUAAGAAUAAAUGUUAUAAUAGUAAUUUUCUUGAAAAAUGCAUGAAUAAAAAGUUUUAAAAAAAAAUAAUUAAUUUUACUCGUAAAAACUAAUUUUAGUAAAAAAAACUGAAUAAAAAAAAGAGUUUUUAAAUAGUAGAGUAGCACAGGCAAUAUGCGACAUAAUAAUAAGUAAUUAAAUUAGGAUCGAACAAAACUCUUGAAUCGAACCGAUCGAAUUGGACUCGAACUGAACUGAAUCUAACAGAACGAUUCUUCAUAAAUUAAAUACUUGAAUGUGUAUCUGAAUCGAGAAUCGACAAGUUUAGUUCAGUUCUCGAUUCUAGAUCAAGAAUCAAAUAACUGAAUAAGAACCGAAUUUGCUUAUUUUUUAAUUAAUUUAUUCUAAAUAAGCAAAAUUGUUUUUUGAAAUAGAUUUGCUAACUAAUUUUCAAUCCAAGUCAACUUAAUUAAAUUUACCUAAGUUUUAUUCAAAUAUAUUAUUUUAUUGUAGUGUCGUUUCUACCGUUUUGGAGAAAUCGAAUUGAAACUCGAUAGCACCUCUUUUAAUUAUUUUGAACUUGAUAUCUUCCUCUUCCUAUAAUUUUAAUGGUCAAAUCUAUGAAAAACUCAACGAACCGAGACGCAAAGAAUAUAUAAGAUUGUAAUAUAUUAUUUUGUAUAAGUUAAGAUUGAACAUAUCAUUUAUUAAAUUAAUGCAAUUUUAUAAAUAUUAAAAAAUUUAAUUAUAAUACAAAACCCAAUAAGCCAAAAGAGUGGAACGAAAUCGAGUUCGAACGAUUUUAUAAUUAAAUUUAAAUACGAGCAUUUCACUUCUAAAUAUUUGAAAAUUUCGAUCCCCCUGAAUUAAGUUGAAAGAGACAAAACCGGGAAACAGAUAUUUUCAGGUAGACAGACAGAGAGACGAGUGACUUCACUUGGCCACUCAGUCUUAAUUAUACGCUUCACACGUGCCUGAUUUAAAACAGACUUCAUUUGACACGUUUCCUAUACUUCUCUGAUAUUUUACACCACUCCACCUACCCUACUGCUCUGCCAUUGCUCCUUUCUAUGCAUGCCACCACGGCACCACCUAAUCAACCUAUAUGUAUGUACGUGGGCAAUACAUAUUUAUUAAAGGUUGAGCCUCAGUUUUGAGAGUUCUACCGUCUCGUCUUUAGAGUUUUGUGUGGGAGGUAAAUCACGAAAUGUGUCUCAAUAGAUCAGGAAACAAGAAUUGUCUGUACACUGCACCUACAAGAAGCCCAAUUCAAUAUCUCAAAAAUCGAACCCUCACACUGCAGCUGCCAAUAAGAUGUGUAAUAACCUCACUCCUGUCAUUUAUUAUUUGCAUAAUUGCUUGCUCAUAUAUGUAUAUAUAGGUUGGGCGUAGCGUGGAAAAAAUUGCCACACCCUCAAACUUGAGAUGUUGGUCUGUCACCAUUCUGGAUUAUUCUUCUCCAUGAAAUUGCGUACGUAGAAAAUUUUUGUACAGAAACAGUACAAAAUACACACAUGUAAAAAUGGAUGGAUUAUUUUUUACAAUAUUUUAAUUCACAUGAGAUUCAUCUUAUAUGAGUGUCUGUGAUGUUUUUGUAUAUUACUUUCAAGCAACUUUUUUCUAAAAAAUAUAUAUAUAAAUAUAGAAGAUACGCGCAUGUAAAUUUAAGUGGACACAAUGAAUUCGAAGUAAUGUUACCUUCUAGCUCGAGGCUAUCAAGUUUCUAUUUUCAUUUAUCAAAUAAUAUUUCAUUGCUUGAAAAGUCCAAAUGAAAAAAAUUCAGAAUUUACCGAUUUAAAUCAAGCUCCUUAUAAUGCAGAACGGUAGUGUCUGGGAUCGGGAACAACAAGGAUACAUGACUAUACCUAGAAUGGGUAAAAAAAAAAUAGAGAUUGAAAUAAAUAAAGUGGAAAUCACACGCACCCUUGUUUUUUAACUUACAAUUUCAAAAAUAAAGUUUAAAUUUUUUUUGUACAAAAAUCAUGUGAUAAUUUAAUUUUUUUUAAUAUUAAAUUAAUUUAUAUCCAACCCACCCCACCCCAUCCCACCCCAUCCAUUGUACUCCAAACUCUAAUUCUUGUUCCUUAUCUCUCUGCUCUCCAUUCUCUUUCUCUACUCUACUCUAUCUACCUCUCCUACUCUCUUCCUCAAUGUCGUCGGCGCUUUGCUCACUGUCGCUAUUAGAGCCAGUACAACAACACUGUGAGCAAGCGUGUGCGACGAUCUGAGCGCUAGAGUACCGCUAAGUAUGGUACUCAUAUCGCCCCAAUAGUGGAACUCAAAUGUGACUUUACGAGGCAUCGCCUAUACGAUGGCGGGAUGUCAAUAGUUUUUGGAGUUCGUUGGUGAUCUUUAGAUCUGAUAUGUUGUGGGUGGUUUGUUGAUGGUUGUUUUUAAUUCGAUUUACUGUGGAUAAGGUUGGUCCUGAGAAUUUAGAGACCCUAGCCGUUUAAUUAUUACGAGCUCUCAACACAAAAUUUAUUUUACAAGUCUAACAAUAUUUUAAUAUUCAGAGACAGAGUCACAGACACGUAGAGUUAAUUGUUUGAAUACUCACUGAACUUUAAUGGGCGUCACGUUUCACUCACUGAACUUUACUUUGCACCCAAUUACUCACUGAACUUUGUAAACUUGCACUCCAUCACUCAUCAGGUUAAAGAGUUAAUUGUUUGAAUACUUACCGAACUUUACAAGACGUCACAUUUCACCCACUCAACUUUACUUUGCACCAAAUUACUCACUGAACUUUGUAAAUUUGCACUUCAUCACUCACCAGGAAUCGUUUGUUCUGUUUGCCUAUGUGGAUAACGACUUUAACACGUGUCAGUUAAAUUAGACAAACAUAACAAUGAAUUGCCAAAUCAUAUAUUCAAAAGGACCCAAACAUGCCUCACCGUUUUCACUCAAAAAUGACAUGCCCAGUAAAGGCGAAAAAGAAGAAACAACAAUCGCGAUAUACUAAAAUUCACCUUCGAAGCGGCCUAUUUUAAGAGAUUAGGGUUCCAAUCGCGAUUUAUGUGUUGAAAACGGUGAGGCAUGUUUGAGUCCUUUUGGAUAUAUGAUUUGGCAAUUCAUUGUUAUGUUUGUCUAAUUUAACUGUCAUGUGUUAAAGCCGUCAUCCACAUAGGCAAACAGAACAAACGGUUCCUGGUGAGUGAUGAAAUGCAAAUUUACAAAGUUCAGUGAGUAAUUGGGUGCAAAGUAAAGUUGAGUGGGUGAAAUGUGACGUCUUGUAAAAUUCGGUAAGUAUUUAAACAAUUAACUCUUUAACCCGAUGAGUGAUGGAGUGCAAAUUUACAAAGUUCUGUGAGUAAUUGGGUGCAAAGUAAAGUUCAGUGAGUGAAACGUGACGCCCUUCCAAAGUUCAGUGAGUAAUUGGGUGCAAAGUAAAGUUCAGUGAGUUUCCAAACAAUUAACUCCAGACACGUAUGUAUAGAGAGAGGGAAAGUACCAGUUGCCAAGAAUCAAAAUCACAAAUUGCUCAUAAAUUUUUCAAAUCCUUGUCCCAAUCACUUGUAAAAGCUUUCUCUGUGAAUCAAUGGCAAUUAAAUCAACAUAUCACCAAAAUUAGGAUCCCAUUUCCAAAACAUUAAUAAGUUACUGAAAAACCCAAAUUAGAAAACUUCCAAUCCCAUUUACUGAUUUACGAAAACUUGAAAUUAGCUUUAAUAAGUUUAAUUCAAAUAUUCAAUGCCAUGGUGAAGUCUGGAACGGUGCAACUAAUUAUGGAACCAGAAAUGGGAAAUCAAUACUCAAAGGCAAAGCAUUGAAAGCAAGCUUGGAAUCUUUGAUCGGGAAACCUACAAACUCAAAUAAUAAAAGUGAAAAAGAGGCCCAACUUGCUAUGCUGUCUGCUGAUGUCGUCAAAAUUUUUGCAGUCGGAAUGACUUGUCACCCCUCACCGCCUCACCGGUAAGCGGUAGCUUUAAUUUUAGGAAUUAAUUCUACCUUCUGCCUUGUGGUGGAGAAGACGAUUAAAAGGGAAUAAAAAGAAUAUAUGGAGAAAGGCGGUUCGUUUUCCUGUGCCAAAUUUUUUCCCGUAACAGACGAGGCCUCCUACAAUUUGAGGCCAAAGGCAGUGGCCUCACUUACCUUGGGCCAGGGCCGACACUGACUGUGGGUAGUUUACAUUGUAGGUGGUUUGUUGGUAGUUGUUUGGAGGUGGUUUUCUGAUCCAAUCUGUUGCCUGGCCGAAGUGUUAGAGUGGUUGUUGAUGUUUUUCAUGGUGAGGUGGUGGUAUAUUGGCAACGAUGGUUCAAGUGGUAGUGCUGGUCGUGGUGAGGUGGUGUUCGAUUAGUGACAGUGGUGGAGUAGGAUAGGAUUUUAGGUGAUUGUGACCAAUAAAUUGGUUUAUUUACGACUAAUAAAUAAUAUGUGACUUAAAAAUGUAAUAUUACAACUAUAUUUGUUAUCAUAACUCACAGUUUGUUAAGUUAUGACCAAUUAAUUUGUGAUCAAGAAAUAAUUUGUAAUUAAUAAAUUUGAUAAUAUGUGAAAAUUUUGUAAUUUAUGAUCAAAAAAUAAUGUGGCCGAUUAAUUUGAUAAUUUGUGAUCAAUAAAAAAAUUGUGGCCUAUAAAAUUUAUUGAUUUGUGAUCAAGAAAAUAAUUCGUAAUAAAUUAAUUUGUUAAUUUGUGAUCGAUAAAUAAGUUGUGACCUAUAAAAUUUGUGAUUUGUGACUGUGACGUUCUGUGAUCGUGACAAGUACGUAAUUAUGAUAAUAGCCUAUAUAAUAUUCUAAUCUUAAUAUAUCUAAUGAAUAAAAUAUUUUUAAUUAUUUAUUUAAUUAACAAAAUGUAAUUACGACUUAUUUUUAACUUAAUUUUGAAAUUGUAUUUUGUAAUUACUUUAUACAUGUAAUGUUCACACAAAUAAAUCUCGUAGUCCAGAAAUAAAAAAUAAUUGUCUGUUUGGUCAAUGUUUCAAUGUUCAGUUCAUUUUCAAUUUUUUUGUUUAGAAUAUCUAUUUUAAAAUUGCAAAAAUCUCGUUUGAUUAUUCAUUUUGAAAAAUUAAUUCUCAAAACAAAAAACUAGAAAAUAUAUUUGGUUUGAAAUUUUGAAAAUUAUUUUAUAUCACUUUUUUCAUGAAAUUUGAUUAUUUAAUAAAAAUAGAACAAUUUUUUGAUAAAAACUAUUAAGUUAUAUAUAUAUAGUAAAUUGAGUUCAAAAUAUAUGAAAUAAAAACAAAAACAAUUGAUGUGAACUGAAAAUAUUUUUAUUUGUGUUUAUUUAUAUAUUCUUUUAGAAUUUUUAUAUAAAUAAUUAUUAAGAUUUUGAACUUUUUUUAAUUUUUAUUUUUCUAGAAAAAAUUUAUAAUUUUAUUUUUUAUUUUUUUUAAUUUAUUUUUUUAGAAAUUUAAUUUUUUAAGAUUUAAAAUUUUAUUUUUCGAAUUUUUUUAUUAUUCUUAAAUUUAAUUCGUUAGAGAUUAGAUUUUUAAUUUUUUAAAAAUAUUUUAAUAAAAAUUUUAUUUAAAUACUUGUUUUUAAUGUUCAUAGUGUUUUCAAAAUUUUCACUAAAAACACUCCAAACGUAUAAAAAAAAAGUCGUUUUAAGUUUUAUAUUAUAAGUUCAACUUUGUUUUCAAAAAAUAAACUUUUUAGAAAUUCCAAACCAACUUGUAUUCAGUAUUUUAUAAAAUAAAUAAAUAAAAAAACAAUUUGAAAACAAAAAACCAAACACACCCCUAAGAAUUUGGAGCGUUGAGGCCCUCGUUGGAACUCAUUAAAAUCAAAAUUUAAUGAAAUUUGCAUUUUACAACAGUGGACUCCCGACUUUAAAAUAACAUUUCCCCAUUCACCCGUAAGAUAAUUUAGAAGUAUAAUUCUGCACGUACAAAAUUAUUGGGACAGAAGAAAAAUAGGAUACUCACAUGGGGUGGGACCCAUAUGAAUUUUAUAUUAGAAAAAAAUACACCACCUGCCCCAUGACCCAUAUGAGUUUUAUAUUGGAAAAAAAUACACCACACGCCCCAUGUAUAUGUGUGUUUUUUGAAUUUAUGUAGACAUUCCGUUGAAAUUACCCAACAUUCAAUUUUGAAUGUGGAAAUACUCCAAUUACACAUCUUCUAUUUACCAAAAUGACUCUCACAAUUAUUAACCUGGGGUAAAUUGCAAUACAGCGAAUUGAAGGGUAAUUUGGGAAGUUGAAAAUUACUGCUGCCAUCAGUUUCCUCCUUACGCAACCAAAGUGUUUUCACACACUUGCAGAGUCAACACUUUUUUUUCUUUAAAAUUGACACAAAUUUGACAGUGAAUGACAGGGGGGUCCCAUGGUAGCAGCCAAAUUUUUUUUGGACAAAGCUCGUUAAAAUAGGGAUUAAAUGUCUAAAUAUCUUGCACCCAUAGAACAUUUUGUGUGAUAUAGAUAUUGGACAUUUUGUGUGAUAUAGAUAUUGGAUAAGAAUAAAAUUAUGUUGUCGGAAGAAAAUCGCCAACUGGUUGAUCGAUCCUCUCAAAGUGCAUAAAUCCUUUGAAUAAUGCUCGACAUUCAGGAUGUGUGUGUUCUAUCAUCCAAAGUGUCAACGAUUAUGUUCGUAUAACAUGAUCCAUUGGAUAAAUAGGAUACCUGAAAGCAGGUGAAUAGUUGGAUUGUCAUCUGAAAAUGACGCCUUUGACUUCUAAUAUUUGAAAUCACAAUAAUUUAAACAUUGAUUGAGUAAGAGAGAAGAGAGAGACAGAAUAGAUAGAUAGACCACUCAACAUCUGAAGUGUUAUGAUUUGAGUGAAUAGUUUUUAUUACUUGUGCAUAUGAGAUCAUUUGAUUGAAAGUAUUUUUCUAAAAUCGUGGUAGAAUGAUGGGAGUUGCAACUAGCUGGUAAUCGGCGUGAUAUCUGGAUACAAUUUUGUGUUGUUGUUUUUUUACCUAAGACGCAACAUGUUUUGUAUGGUCGAAUAGUUAAUAUAGUUACAUUCACUUCUAGUUUUGAGAACAAAGACGAAGGACCAUUCGACUCAUUAAGAGCGUGAUCUUCACCCUCUAGUACCAAUUCUAGUAUUCAAAGUAUUAUUAAUUCGACUACAAAAUCACUCAAGAUGGCAAUGCACGAAAGGCCAUAAAAAAGCUAAUAGAAGGGGAAAUUUUGGUUGUUCACAAGUAAACAUAAUUAUAAGUAAUUAUUUAAGUAGCCCUGGGGCAUAGUCCAGUCGUAUAAAGGACAGGAGUGAGGUUAUCUCAUGUCUUGCUGGCAGUCGCAGUGUGGAGGUUUGAUUGCUGAGACAUAGAAUUGGACUUGUAGGCGCAGUGUACAGGUAGCUCUUGUUUCCUGACCUGUUGGAACACAUCCCGCGAUUUACUUCCCUCACAAAACUCUAGGAAUGAAACGGUAGGCACCCUCAAGGUUGGGGUUCAACUUUAUCUUUAAAUAAUUAUUUAAGUCAAAAUAGCAUAAUUAAAUAAUCGAGCAAAGAAUCCGACGACAGCAGUAGUUAGAAGAGAAGAGCCAAUAAUUGCUACCCACGAUGCCCCGACAUCAAAUCAUCUUGUCUCUUCAUCCCUUCAUCCAUGACUCUCUCUCUCUCUCUCUCACACACACACACACACACAAAUUCGUUGUUUAUCUUCAAGGCCAAGACUUUGGACACGAAAUCCCAUAAUCUCUAUUCUCUCUCUGAAUUUGUUUAACUUCGUGGCCAAGACGUUGGACGCGAAAUCCCAUAAUCUCUCUAAAAUUGGAAAAAAUGCAAAGGAGUCAUCAACUUAUUCGAAUUGAGGUAAGUUAGUCCUCAACCAAUACUAUUGGCAAGUAUAGUUCAUAAACCUAUUGUGCUUGCAAGGUUAAAAAUUGCCAAUGAGUCAUCAACUUCAUUCACUUGAAAAUUAACUAUUUUCACAUAGUGACAAGGGUGGUUAAUUUUUCAAACGAUUUGCUAUGAUGAACGUGAAAUAGCAUUAAAAUUAUGCCCUUGUUUGAGCCUCAUUCUUUUCGAAAAAUACAUUUUUCAAUAGUGUUCUGACAUCAUUUCAAUCACACAUUCUUCAAUAAAAUAAUAUUACACGCAAAUUCAAAAUUUUUCCUUAUUUUUUAACCAUACAUUUAUCAUCAAUACACUAUUCAAAAAUUCAUUCUUCCCAAAAAAAUGGGGCUCAAACAAGGGCUAUAUGGACGAUUGAGAACUAACUUUAAAGAUGCAAUAAAUAUUUGAAAAUAUUUUAAAGUUCAGUAAAUGUUGGGAAAUAACUUUAAAAAUAUUGUGACCAUUCCAAAAAAAAGUAGAGUUCAAUUGGAAAAUAAGAUUGACAAUACAAUAUUCAUAGACACAUUUUACGUUGUUUGCAAAACAAGGGUUAUGAAUUGAUGGAAAUCGAUUGUUAAAGAAUCAAAAGAAACGAGCAUGUAUAAAGUUCGAAAAAUUGUGGCGUCACUCGCAAUUCAGAAUUCAUAUAGAAAUCUGGAUACAAUGUUUAAACGAAGUAUUUUGCUCUUCAACCUUUCAAUAUAUUUGCAAUUAUUAUCUUUAUAGUGACCAUUUGUUACAAGAUUUUUCAAGAAUUGAAUAAGUACCAUCAUUAUUGUCGAUUUCUCUCAUUAGCAUCCACUCAUGGUUGGAAAAUAGGAUUGUAAAUACCUUUCAUGCGGUAGCCGAAUUGGUGGAGUAGAGUAGGUGAACUCGGAGACCUUUGGUCACGAGUUCAAUUCCCCCUACCAAAACUUUUUAGGUCGAGUUUGUCGCACAGGGCUUACCUAGUGCGGUUUACGUGACUGGCGUGAUUUGCAGACUAUUGCAUUAGUUCGAGAGUUUACCCAGUGCGCACUAGAAGGGUAGCGACUGCAAGUUCCCUCGUCAUAAAAAAAGGAUUGUAAAUGGAUCGGAUCUGUCCGAAUCCGAUCCUAUUCGUUAAGAAUAAUUAUCCGAUUUGAUAAUUCAACGGAUAUUUGAUUGUUAGAUCCAUAUUCAAUUUACUAAUCAAAUUCUAAGUUCGAGAAUUAAAAGGCUCGAAUAGUUUUUUAUCCAAAUCUUGGCUCACCUAUUUAUAGAUUGUAAACUGUUGGCUCAUUUGUUUAUUUAAUUAAUAAAAUUAAUUAAUUAAUUUUUUUAUCUUAUUUUAAUUAAUAAAAAAAUUAAAUCUCUUCAAAUAUUUCAAUUAACAAUAUUAUACUAUUAUCUAAUACUAUUUAUUAUUUCAAAAUUAUAUGUAAAUUAUAAUACAAAUUUCAAAAUUAAAAAAAAAUAUAUGUGUAAUAAAUCACACAAUAGUAUAUAAAAUAUGUUAUAUUAUUAUAAUAAAUCGGAUUGAGUUGUUAUUGAAUCUAAUUAACCUAUAUUCAUAUUUGUUUCAUUUAGUUAACGGAUUAUUAGAUUCAAAUUUUAAUCGGAUUUAGACCCUAAAUGCAUCUCCCAAUAAUUUUAUGGGAUUCGGAUCAAAAUUCAAUCAAUCGACAAUCUUAAUUGGAAUGCUACAAAAAGGGGGAAGAUCGAGAACACUUAAGUCAUGUAUUAAAUUGAUGAAGAAUUUAAUGUAUUUUCUAGUUUUAUCCUCAAUAAUUUAGUUUAUUUUUUUUGUAUGUUGUCACUAUUGUUGAAUUUGAGGAUUUUUAAUGCUUGCUUGCAAAUUGUGAAUAAGUUUAAGAAAAAAGGGGGGAAAAAAACAAAAGAAAAAAGAGAUAAAAACCCGAACAUAUAACGAGAAAAGGUGGAAUUCUACGAAUGUUGUGAUCGCCAUUAGUCCGUGGUGCCACAAUUUUUAUUUUUUAUUUUUUUAUAUAUAUUUCAAUACUACUUUAUUUAUUUUGUAUUAUAUUUAACUCAUUUUUCGCAAUAGUAUCUCGCGUCCUUGAACAUACUGUUUUAAGGAUUAAAAUGUAUUUUUUGAGACCAAAUUACUACAACAUCUAUAGAUUGGGGGCUAUUAACUACAAUUCUUCCAUUUAAAGUCAUCAUCAGAACCUACAUCUUUGAUUCAUAAAUCAUAGUCAUCGACACUAUUAUUCUCACUCUUCUAAAUUUUGAUAAAAAAAAAUAUUGAAAUAUAUGAUUAGACUAAAUUAUUGAUUUUAACUUAAAUUUUAAUUACCCCUAGCUUCCAUUUUGUGGAAAUGAAAAUGAGAGAAAUAAUAUUUUUUUAAAAAAUAAUGGUUGAACAAGAAAGAAAAAUUUUCGAUUUAUGUAUAAUAUUAUUUUAUAAAAGAUUGUGUGGUUGAAAAUAGGAAGAGAAAAAUGAAAUUAUGCUCCCGUUUGGCCCCAUUAAAUUACAUUCAAUUUUUCUCUCUCCGAUUUUCAACCAUGCAAUCUUCUUUAAAAUAAUAAUACACGUAAAUCAAAAUUUUUUUUUUUUCAACAAUUUAUUUUUCAAAAAAAUAAUUUCACCUAUUUUAUUACCAAAAAAUGGGGGACCGAACAGGGGUAUAACGGAAUGGAAAUUAACAGGGGUCAAACGAUAGCUAUAAUAUCAAAUAGGGAUCAUAUAAUAUUAGAAAAAACAUAAAAGUGGUUGGGGGUAAAUUAUAAACAUAUUUAAAAGCAAUCAUAAUCAUUUUCACAUUACGUAAGAUAUUAUUGAUGUCUCUUCGUAUAACAAUUUCCUCCUUUUUAUUAAUAUGGACACUAUUAUAUAAACAAAUUGUACGAAUUAAUGAAAGAUUGAGAGAAAAAACAUUGACAAUAAAAGAUUGAAGACCAAAUACUUCUAUAGCCAAAAAGUUGAGAGCGAAAAUGUAGAUAUAUUUAAUCCAUUUAUGGGAUGAAUUGAGUCAGAAAUAAUAAUAAUAAUAAUAAUAAUAAUAAUAAUAAUAAUAAUAAUUUAUCUUAUCCUAUUCGAAAUUUGCUAUAUUAAAUUGAUCUAAGCUGAUCAAACAAUUAAAAUAUUAUUUUAGCAUACUAAAUUUACAAUAAUAUCAUUUCGUAUUAACUAAAAUUCUUUUACGUUGUUGAAUUUGUCUGACAUAUUUUUUUGAGAAUAAAUUUUAUGAAAAAUAAUUUUUUUUUCAUAAUAAUGCGUAGUUUAAAAAGUAAGAAAAGUGACGAAUAAACGUAUAAAAUCAUUUUAUUGAAAAAAUGAGUAGUUAAAAAUGAAUUUGAAGAAAAAUAAAGUUUAAUGAAUAUAUAUCAAAAAAUGGUUUAAUCUCUACUCUUCAACCAUGCUUGUGGAUAAUUAUUCUUAUUGAUUACAUUGCCAAUCAUGACCAGUUACUCAUAUGUGAGCAGAAUACAACGUUGGGUGAAGAUUAAGGAUUUAGAUCUAAAUAAUUAAUUAUUUAAAAAUAAAUUAAACAAAGACCAAAGUGUCAAUUAAAAUAUAAAAUGGAGAGCAUGAUUGAUUAUACUGUACAUUUCUAAGAAUAUAUUAAAAAUUCAAUCCUUAAUCAUAACAAAUUAUAUACCAUAUGAUUUGUUCUUUGUUUCAUUCUUAAAUUUAUUCAAAGUCUAAAAUAAUUAACACCUUAGCAGCCUAACAAGCCAAAUAGCAUUUUGGGAUAGCUUAAAAAGAGUGGAAAUUAUUUAGAAUUUUUACUUUCUUGAAAGAGUAAUGCUAUUCAUGGUGAGCGACCAUCGUAGUUAUCCUAUGGCAUAUAUCUAAUUAUUUAGGAGGAUGUUCUCAGCUGAAAUUUUGAUAAAUUUUAAAAAAUUAUAAAUUCUAAUGAAGGGGGUGUCCCAACUAAGAUUUUAAUAGAUCUUAAAAAUCAUUCUAAAUUAAGUAGUCCACAAUUGAGAUUUUAUGAAAUCAAUUUACAUUUAGGUGUUCUUAGUGACAUAUUAAUUUAUAUAGAUUUCGUUAGUAGAGGAAUUUUAAAAAAUUUGGAUGAAUUUUCAAGUUUAAAAAUACAUAAAAUAAACUAUUUUCAAAUUUCACAAUUUUUAAGGAGAAUCUUAAAACAUUUUCAAGAGAUUUUGUAAAUACAAAAUAUUUUUUAUUUUAAAGAGCUAAUGUUUAAAAACAAGCUCCAAGAAACUCUUUAUUGUAAUUUUUUGAAACAAACUAUCUAUUCUUAAUGUACAAUGAUUGUAUCUAUUAAAUAACAGAUUUCAAUAUUUUAUUUCUUAAACUAUUCCAACUACAUUUAAUCUAGCGGUUCUUCUUAAAUUAAAUAUCCAAAUGGGUAUCUAAAUUAAAAAUCGUCAGAUUUGGUUCGGUUCUUGGGUUUAGAUCAAGAAUUAAAUCUCCUAAAUUUUUUUAAUUAAUUUAUUUUAAAUAUGCCAAAUUAUUUUAUUUUUUCUAAAUAAAUUUGCUAACUAGUUAAUUUAGUUUAAAUCCAAAAAUAUGAUUUUUCUAUUUCUAAUUUUCAAUUCAAAGCAAAUUUAAUCAAAUUGGCCUAUGUUUUUAAUCCAAAUCUGUUAUUCUACCAUAGUAUCAUUUCUAUCGUUUUGGAGAAAUCGAAUUGAAACUCCAUAAUCUUCUAUUAAUUAUUUUGAGCUUGCUAUCUUCCAUUUUCUAUAAUUUUAACAAUCAAAUCUAUGAAAAACUCAGCAAAGAGAGGUUCAAAAAAAUAUAAGAUUGGACUACGUUAUUUUGUAAGAACUGUAAUUGAACACAUCAUUAGUUGGAUUAAUGCCACUUUGUAAAUAUUAACAAAUUUAAUUAUAAUACACAACUUGGGAAUCGAACCAAAAUCAAACAGUUCCAUAAUUAAAUUUGGAUUUGACCGUUCCACUUACUAAAUACUAAAAAUUUUUGGGCCUGAUUCGAUUCUCAUUAGAAUCGAACUGAAACAUGCCCUAACAUUUGAUUGACCAUUGAUAUAUAUAAAAUUAUGUUAAGAUCCCGUUUGAUUCCUAUUUUUUGGCCAAAAAAAUAAAAAAUAUGACCGAUAUUUAUUACAUAAAGUCACCAUAUUUGACUUUUUAUUUCUUGUGUAGAUUCCGUAACGACUAUAUUUUUCAUUCUUAUUUUUAGAAAAGUGUGAAUCAAAUAGGCUCUAAAUAAAAUAUGAGGAGAAGUCAGAGUCUGUUUGGUGCACAUUUUUUAGAUGAAAAUGCAUUUUAAGCAUCAUAUCGCGGGUCCCCCAUUAGAGUGUAGAAGUCAAAAAUUGUGUGCUGAUGUGACGGAAAAAAUGCAUUUUUGGCUCAAAAAAUGAGUACCAAACAGGAGCUCAAUAAACAUUUAUUGAGAAAAGUAUAAUGAACUAAAAUAGAGAAUAUUAUUGUAGUACAUAAAAAUUUUGACUCACUAACUUAAAUAUGCUCUCAUUAAGCAUAAAUAAGGAGUUUUUGUUGGAGAUGCUCUUAUAGAUUUCAUGAGAAUCUAGAAUCUCAUUAAAAAUGAAGAAAUUUGAAAAGAGUUUGUUAUAUGUAAUUUUAAGUUUGAAAUUCAUCCAAACCUUUUAAAAUUUCUCUAUUAAUUAAAUCUAUAUAAAUUAAUGAGUUAUUGACAAUAUCAAAAUUUUAUUAAAUUUCAUUAAAAUUUCAAUUUAGGAUACCUAAAUUUCAAUAAAAUUGAUCAAAAUAUUUAUUUGGAGCAUCUGAAUUUAAAAGAAUUUUUAAAAUUCAUCAAAAUCUCAAUUAAUAACGCCCUCGUUAAUCAUCUAUACUAUUUUUCUUAAUUUCUAACUCACGUAUUUACUUAUGAAGAUCGGUUAAAUAUCCCAUUUAUCCUUGAACUUCUACACAUAUUUACUUAUUUUAUUAACAUACACUCCUAGUUAUUUCAUUUAUGGAUCACCACAUUAGCAUAAUGGUUAAAGGGACAUUGAGCCUUUGUUUGAUUCUUAUUUUAUGGAAUUCAUGAUUUUUCAAUAUCAACAUUUAUCAAAAUCUAAUAAAAAGCCAAGGGAGAUGGAUGGAGGGACAUAUGAUAAUCAGAUAUGGAAGUUUGACACCGGAUUAAAAGAAUUUAAAAUUUAGGGACGUGUGAGGAACAUAGGUGACCGCCCCACCCCCAAAACCAGAAAUCACCAAAAUACUUCCCCUCUUUCUCCAUCUUUUCCGUGAAAGUCAGCGCCUUUCUUGAUUAGAAGGUGGGUGCCAAAGAUUUGAGCUACCUUUUGGAGAAGUGCAGUUGUAGACUUGGACACUUCAUAACCUCAACAGAAGACGCAGUUAGUUUGGUCUAUUGUUUGUGAAUCUGGGCAAUAGCUAAAUUUGCUUUUGGUGUAUUUGUAAGCUCUUCAUUACUGGCUUGGUCAAAGUUACAAUUUCCAGCUCUUGCCAUAUUUUGAUUCUUCCAUGUAUUCCGUGACUAGAUUUUUAGUUCAGUAUCUUUGUUGUUUUCAUUUUCCCAGAUUUAUAUCCCAUUGGAGGGAGUUGGGCAAGAGAAACUUGAUGCUGAGUUUAAGCUAAGUUCUUUUGAUAUCAAAUUCCAUGUGUGCUGGUUUUGAAUUUCUGGUUUUUGGGGCCGGGUUGGGGCUGGGGCGGGGGUGAAGAAGUGUUACUGGUGGCUCAACUGGUUGCGACACGUGGCAGGUGAAUGAGGCGGCAGAGGGUGAUUGCUUUGCUUGGCCGGAUCUUGCUAUUUCUACAUCCACACUAGGAAAAGGUCUCAAUUGAAACCCCCCCACCCACUCAAAAAAAAAAAAAAAAAAAAAAAAAAAAAAGGGAAGGGAAAAAAAAAAAAAAAAGAACAAGAGGGUUUAUUUCAUGUUUUGUGCUGUUCAAAAUAGUACCUUUGUUAGGGUUUAAUGGUACAACCAGGCAUGAGAUUUUGGUAAAUGUACAAGAUUAGAUGCAUGUUGGUUUUACAGAAGUAGAGCUAUUAGUACAAGAGAGGAAGGAUAUUUCUAUGGAGUUAUAUUGUAAAUUUCUUGGGGUAUGUUGUUUUACAAUAUGAAAGAUUAAAAUAAUUUUUGGAAGCCCUUUUUACUUUGCAAGUAUUUAAUGCCUUGUGUUUGUUUUUCCCCUUGUUUUUGUUGGAGGAGCGAUCAAGGAAACAAAGCUUUUAGGGCAUGUUUAGUUUGGUCACUAGAUACAUUUCUUAGAUAAGAAAUGUAACAUUAGUCUGUAUAUGAUCUUUAAUGAUAAAUUAAGUUAUAAGUUAAAUGAGUUCGUUGAAUUUAGCACUCUUUUGGUAGCAAUUUUUAAUCUCAACAAAUUGACUUUGAUUGUUAUUUUAGUAUUUUAAUCGUCAUUUUUGACUUUUUCUUUCAUAGAUAUGAUUCAUUUUUCUUUUUAACAAUAAAAA
Molecule: long non-coding RNA, 52509 nt
Filed under: Olea europaea (common olive)
Lineage: Eukaryota; Viridiplantae; Streptophyta; Magnoliopsida; Lamiales; Oleaceae
Description: long non-coding RNA (OEUR_LNC001770)
Source: RNAcentral